This 55768-nucleotide long non-coding RNA is filed under the name Lathyrus oleraceus (garden pea). RNAcentral describes it as "Pisum sativum (pea) long non-coding RNA (PSAT_LNC036229)". Lineage: Eukaryota; Viridiplantae; Streptophyta; Magnoliopsida; Fabales; Fabaceae. The record is from RNAcentral.
AACAACAAAAUAAAAUCAAUUGGAUCAUUAAACAUUAAAUCUCAACAACAACAACAAAACAAAAUCAACACAAUCGCUAAAUAUUAAAUAUCAACAACAACAACAAUAAUAAAAACAACAAUAAAAGAAAAACAACAACAAAAAUAAAAUCAAUAAAAUCAUUAAACCACUACUACAAAAAAGACCUCUUACAGUAGAUGUUCCUUCGGUUACACAUAUGAGGUAACUAAGGACGACAUGAAAAAUUGUCACUUUACCCACCGAUUCCUAAAUAACCAAGGGGUAAAGUGGAAAUGUCAUGUGAUUGACCCCUAGUGAGAUCCUUUAAGGAAUAUUAAUUGCGAAAAAACUUAUCCCCUCGAUUUUGAAAUAUAAAUGACGGGUAAAAUAAGCUUGAGUUUAUUAUAUCUAUUGUGGAUUGCUUGUAUUUAGCCCUAGCUGAACAUAUAACUUUUCAAAAUGGAUUAUUGUGAUAGUUGAUAGUACUAUUGAUGCAAUUUACAAAUUAUUGAUGCAUAUCUAAAUCAUAGUCUUAACUUCGAUAAUGAAACUUCCACAAUUGGAAAAAAAACCAGCAUAGCUGAUCAACCGUGGUAAGGUAGGGGUGGUAGUAAGUGUACUACAUUCCACCAAGGGGUAAGGUUCGUUGUGAAAAAAUGGAUAACACGCUACAUUUUACCAUAGUUAGAAAUUCCAACUGUGGUGAUUUGUAGUCAGCCCACUUUUCACCACAUUUCGAACUUCCAACCAUGGUGAUAUGCCAGUCAACCCACUUUUCACCACGGUUGGAAGUUCCAACCAUGGUGAAAUAUCAUUCAACCCGCUUUUCACCGCAGUUGGAAGUUCCAGCCGUGGCAAAAAGUCAAUCAACCCAAUAUUUUAUUUAUUUUUGCCACAUGUUUUGACUGACUACAUUGAGAACUUUCAUCAUAAUAUAUAAUUCAAAAUAUUUCUAACACAAGAACAAUAACAACAAGAACAACAACAAUAAUAACAACAACAACAAUAAGAGCAAGAACAAGAAAAAGAAAAUAACAAGAACAAUAAAAACAACAACGAAAUAAAAUCAAUUGGAUCAUUAAACAUUAAAUCUCAAAAAUAACAACAACAAAACAAAAUCAACACAAUUGCUAAAUAUUAAAUAUCAACAACAACAACAACAACAAUAAUAAAAACAACAACAAAAGAAAAACAAGAAAAAUAAAAUAAAUAAAAUCAUUAAACCACUACUACAAAAAAGACAUGUUACAGUAGAUGUUACAUCAGUUACACAUACGAGGUAACCAAGGACGAUAUGAAAAAUUGUCACGUUACCCACCGAUUUCUAAAUAACAAAGGGGUAAAGUGGCAAUGUCAUGUGAUUGAUCCCUAGUGAGAUCCUUUAAGGAAUAUUAAUUGCGAAAAAACUUAUCCCCUCGAUUUUGAAAUAUAACCGACGGGUAAAAUAAGCUUGAGUUUAUUAUAUCUAUUUCGGAUUGCUUUUAUUUAGCCCUAGCUGAACAUCUAACUUUUCAAAUUGGAUUAUUGUGAUAGUUGAUAGUACUAUUGAUGCAAUUCACAUAUCAUAGAUGCAUAUCUAAAUCGUAGUCUUAACUUCGAUAAUGAAACUUCCACAAUUGGAAAAAAACCAUCAUAGCUUAUCAACCGUGGUAAGGUAGGGGUGGUAGUAAGUGUACUACAUUCCACCACGGGUUAUGGUUCGUUGUGAAAAAAUGGAUAACGCGCUACAUUUUACCAUAGUUAGAAAUUCCAACUGUGGUGAUAUGUAGUCAACCCACUUUUCACCACGAUUCGAACUUCCAACACGGGUGAAAUGUCAGUCAACCCACUUUUCACCACGGUUGGAAGUCCCAACCAUGGUGAAGUAUCAUUCAACCCACUUUUCACCACGGUUGGAAGUUCCAACCGUGGAAAAAAGUCAAUCAACCCAAAGUUUUAUUUAGUUUUGCCAACAAGAACAACAAGAACAACAACAAUAAUAACAACAACAACAAGAGCAAGAACAAGAAAAAGAAAAUAAUAAGAACAAUAAAAACAACAACAAAAUAAAAUCAAUUGGAUCAUUAAACAUAAAAUCUCAACAACAACAACAACAAAACAAAAUCAACACAACCGCUAAAUAUUAAAUAUCAACAACAACAACAACAAUAAUAAAAACAAUAACAAAAGAAAAAAAACAGCAACAAAAAUAAAAUAAAUAAAAUCAUUAAACCACUACUACAAAAAAGACAUCUUACAGUAGAUGUUACAUCGGUUACACAUACGAGGUAACUAAGGACGACAUGAAAAAUUGUCAUUUUACCCACCGAUUAAUAAAUAACCAAGGGGUAAAGUGGCAAUGUCAUGUGAUUGAUCCCUAGUGAGAUCAUUUAAGGAAUAUUAAUUGCGAAAAAAAGUAUCCCCUCGAUUUUGAAAUAUAAUCGACGGGUAAAAUAAGCUUGAGUUUAUUAUAUCUACUGUGGAUUGCUUGUAUUUAGCCCUAGCUGAACAUAUAACUUUUCAAAUUGGAUUAUUGUGAUAGUUGAUAGUACUAUUGAUGAAAUUUACAAAUCAUUGAUGCAUAUCUAAAUCGUAGUCUUAACUUCGAUAAUGAAACUUCCACAAUUGGAAAAAAAACCAUUAUAGUUGAUCAACCGUGGUAAGGUAGGGGCGGUAGUAAAUGUACUACAUUCCACCACGGGUUAAGUUCCGUUGUGCUAAAAUGGAUAACGCGCUACAUUUUACCAUAGUUAGAAAUCUAACUGUGGUGAUAUGUAGUCAGCCCAGUUUUCACCACGAUUUGAACUUCCAACCAUGGUGAAAUGUCAGUCAACCCACUUUUCACCACGGUUGGAAGUUCCAACCAUGGUGAAAUAUCAUUCAGCCGACUUUUCACCACAGUUUGAAGUUCCAACCGUGGCAAAAAGUCAAUCAACCCAAUUUUUUAUUUAUUUUUGCCACCUGUUUUGACCGACUACAUAGAUAACUUUCAUCAUAAUAUAUAAUUCAUAAUAUUUCUAACACAAGAACAAGAACAACAAGAACAACAACAAUAAUAAAAACAACAACAAGAGCAAGAAGAAGAAAAGGAAAAUAACAAAAACAAUAAAAACAACAACGAAAUAAAAUCAAUUGGAUAAUUAAAUAUUAAAUCUCAAAAACAACAACAACAAAACAAAAUCAACACAAUCGCUAAAUAUUAAAUAUCAACAACAACAACAACAAUAAUAAAAACAACACUAAAAGAAAAACAACAAGAAAAAUAAAAUCAAUAAAAUCAUUAAACCACUACUACAAAAAAGACAUGUUACAGUAGAUGUUACAUCGGUUACACAUACGAGGUAACCAACGACGAUAUGAAUAAUUGUCACUUUACCCACCGAUUUCUAAACAACCAAGGGGUAAAGUGGCAAUGUCAUGUGAUUGAUCCCUAGUUAGAUCCUUUAAGGAAUAUUAUUUGCGUAAAAACUUAUCCCCUCGGUUUUGAAAUAUAACCGACGGGUAAAAUAAGCUUGAGUUUAUUAUAUCUACUGUGGAUUGCUUGUAUUUAGCCCUAUAUGAACAUCUAACUUUCCAAAUUGGAUUAUUGUAAUAGUUGCUAGUACUAUUGAUGCAAUUUACAAAUCAUUGAUGCAUAUCUAAAUCAUAGUCUUAACUUCGAUAAUGAAACUUCCAUAAUUGGAAAAAAAACCAUCAUAGUUGAUCAACCGUGGUAAGGUAGCGGUGGUAGUAAGUGUACUACAUUCCACCACGGGUUAAGGUCCGUUGUGAAAAAAUGGAUAAUGCGCUACAUUUUACCAUAGUUAGAAAUUCCAACUGUGGUGAUAUGUAGUCAGCCCAAUUUUCACCACGAUUCGAAACUCCAACCAUGGUGAAAUGUCAGUCAACCUACUUUUCACCACGGUUGGAAGUUCCAGCCGUGGAAAAAAGUCAAUCAACCCAAUUUUUUAUUUUAUUUUGCCACAUGUUUUGACUGACUACAUUUGAGAACUUUCAUCAUAACAUAUAAUUCAAAAUAUUUCUAACACAAGAACAAGAACAACAAGAACAACAACAAUAAUAACAACAACAACAAGAGCAAGAACAAGAAAAAUAAAAUAACAAGAACAAUAAAAACAACAACGAAAUAAAAUCAAUUGGAUCAUUAAACAUUAAAUCUCAACAACAACAACAAAACAAAAUCUACACAAUCGCUAAAUAUUAAAUAUCAUCAACAACAACAACAAUAAUAAAAACAACAACAACAAAAAAACAACAACAAUAAAAAUAAAUUCAAUAAAAUCAUUAAACCACUACUACAAAAAAGACAUCUUAUAGUAGAUGUUACAUCGGUUACACAUACGAGGUAACCAGGACGACAUGAAAAAUUGUCACUUUGCCAACCGAUUCCUAAAUAACCAAGGGGUAAAGUGGCAAUGUCAUAUGAUUGAUCCCUAGUGAGAACCUUUAAGGAAUAUUAAUUGCGAAAAAACUUAUCCCCUCGAUUUUGAAAUAUAACCGACAGGUAAAAUAAGCUUGAGUUUAUUAUAUCUAUUGUGGAUUGCUUGUAUUUGGCCCUAGCUGAACAUAUAACUUUUCAAAUUGGAUUAUUGUGAUAGUUGAUAGUACUAUUGAUGCAUUUUACAAAUCAUUGAUGCAUAUCUAAAUCAUAGUUUUAACUUCGACAAUCAAACUUCCACAAUUGGAAAAAAAACCAACAUAGCUGAUCAACCGUGGUAAGGUAGGGGUGGUGGUAGGUGUACUACAUUCCACAACGGGUUAAGGUUCGUUGGUAAAAAAUGGAUAACACGCUACAUUUUACCAUAGUUAGAAAUUCCAACUGUGGUGAUAUGUAGUCAGCCCACUUUUCACCACAGUUCGAACUUCCAAAGGUUCGUUGGUAAAAAAUGGAUAACACGCUACAUUUUACCAUAGUUAGAAAUUCCAACUGUGGUGAUAUGUAGUCAGCCCACUUUUCACCACAGUUCGAACUUCCAACCAUGGUGAAAUGUCAGUCUACCCACUUUUCACCACGGUUGGAAGUUCCAACCAUGGUGAAAUAUCAUUCAACCCCCUUUUCACCACGGUUGGAAGUUCCAGCCGUGGCAAAAAGUCAAUCAACCCAAUUUUUUAUUUAUUUUUGCCACAUGUUUUGACUGACUACAUUUAGAACUUUCAUCAUAAUAUAUAAUUCAAAAUAUUUCUAACACAAGAACAAGAACAACAAGAACAACAACAAUAAUAACAACAACAACAAGAGAAAGAACAAGAAAAAUAAAAUAACAAGAACAAUAAAAACAACAACGAAAUAAAAUCAAUUGGAUCAUUAAACAUAAAAUCUCAACAACAACAACAACAAAACAAAAUCAACAUAAUCGCUAAAUAUUAAAUAUCAACAGUAAUAAAAACAACAACAAAAGAAAAACAAAAACAACAAAAAUAAAAUCAAUAAAUUCAUUAAACCACUACUACAAAAAAGACAUCUUACAGUAGAUGUUACAUCGGUUACACAUACGAGGUAACUAAGGACGAUAUGAAAAAUUGUCACUUUACCCACCGAUUUCUAAAUAACCAAGGGGUAAAGUGGCAAUGUCAUGUGAUUGAUCCCUAGUGAGAUCCUUUAAGGAAUAUUAAUUGCGAAAAGACUUUACCCCUCGGUUUUGAAAUAUAACAGACGGGUAAAAUAAGCUUGAGUUUAUUAUAUCUAUUUUGGAUUGCUUUUAUUUAGCCCUAGCUGAACAUCUAACUUUUCAAAUUGGAUUAUUGUGAUAGUUGAUAGUACUAUUGAUGCAAUUUACAUAUCAUUGAUGCAUAUCUAAAUCGUAGUCUUAACUUCGAUAAUGAAACUUCCACAAUUGGAAAAAAAAACCAUCAUAGUCGAUCAACCGUGGUAAGGUAGGGGUGAUAGUAAGUGUACUACAUACCACCACGGGUUAAGGUCCGUUGUGAAAAAAUGGAUAACGCGCUACAUUUUACCAUAGUUAGAAAUUCCAACUAUGGUGAUAUGUAGUCAGCCCACUUUUCACCACGAUUCGAACUUCCAACCAUGGUGAAAUGUUAGUCAACCCACUUUUCACCACGGUUGGAAGUUCCAACCAUGGUGAAAUAUCAUUCAACCCACUUUUCACCACGAUUGAAAGUUCCAGCCGUGGCAAAAAGUCAAUCAACCCAAUUCUUUAUUUAUUUUUGCCACAUGUUUUGACUGACUACAUUGAGAACUUUCAUCAUAAUAUAUAAUGCAAAAUAUUUCUAACACAAGAACAAGAACAGCAAGAACAAUAACAAUAAUAAGCAGAACAACAAGAGCAAGAACAAGAAAAAUAAAAUAACAAGAACAGUAAAACCAACAACGAAAUAAAAUCAAUUCGAUCAUUAAACAUUAAAUCUCAACAACAGCAACAACAACAAAACAAAAUCUACACAAUCGCUAAAUAUUAAAUAUCAACAACAACAACAACAAUAAUAAAAACAACAACAACAAAGAAACAACAACAAUAAAAAUAAAAUCAAAAAAAUCAUUAAACCACUACUACAAAAAAGACAUCUUAUAGUAGAUGUUACAUCGGUUACACAUACGAGGUAACCAGGACGAAGUGAAAAAUUGUCACUUUACCCACCGAUUCCUAAAUAACGAAGGGGUAAAGUGGCAAUGUCAUGUGAUUGAUCCCUAGUGAGAUCCUUUAAGGAAUAUUAAUUGGGAAAAAACUUAUCCCCUCGAUUUUGAAAUAUAACCGACGGGUAAAAUAAGCUUGAGUUUAUUAUAUCUAUUGUGGAUUGCUUGUAUUUAGCCCUAGCUGAGCAUAUAACUUUUCAAAUUGGAUUAUUGUGAUAGUUGAUAGUACUAUUGAUGCAAUUUACAAAUCAUUGAUGCAUAUCUAAAUCAUAGUUUUAACUUCGACAAUCAAACUUCCACAAUUGAAAAAAAAACCAACAUAGCUGAUCAACCGUGGUAAGGUAGGGGUGGUGGUAAGUGUACUAUAUUCCACAACGGGUUAAGGUUCGUUGGUAAAAAAAUGGAUAACACGCUACAUUUUACCAUAGUUAGAAAUUCCAACUGUGGUGAUAUGUAGUCAGCCCACUUUUCACCACAGUUCGAACUUCCAACCAUGGUGAAAUGUCAGUCAACCCACUUUUCACCACGGUCGGAAGUUCCAACCAUGGUGAAAUAUCAUUCAACCCACUUUCCACCACGGUUGGAAGUUCCAGCCGUGGCAAAAAGUCAAUCAACCCAAUUUUUUAUUUAUUUUUGCCACAUGUUUUGACUGACUACAUUGAGAACUUUCAUCAUAAUAUAUAAUUCAAAAUAUUUCUAAUUUAUUUUUGCCACAUGUUUUGACUGACUACAUUGAGAACUUUCAUCAUAAUAUAUAAUUCAAAAUAUUUCUAACACAAGAACAAGAACAACAAGAACAACAACAAUAAUAACAACAACAACAAGAGAAAGAACAAGAAAAGUAAAAUAACAAGAACAAUAAAAACAACAAUGAAAUAAAAUCAAUUGGAUCAUUAAACAUUAAAUCUCAAAAACAACAACAACAAAACAAAAUUAACACAAUCGCUAAAUAUUAAAUAUCAACAACAACAACAACAACAAUAAUAAAAACAACACUAAAAGAAAAACAACAAGCAAAAUAAAAUCAAUAAAAUCAUUAAACCACUACUACAAAAAAACAUGUUACAGUAGAUGUUACAUUGGUUACACAUACAAGGUAACCAAGGACGAUAUGAAAAAUUGUCACUUUACCCACCGAUUUCUAAAUAACCAAGGGGUAACGUGGCAAUGUCAUGUGAUUAAUCCCUAGUUAGAUCCUUUAAGGAAUAUUAUUUGCGAAAAAACUUAUCCCCUCGGUUUUGAAAUAUAACCGACGCGUAAAAUAAGCUUGAGUUUAUUAUAUCUACUGUGGAUUGCUUGUAUUUAGCCCUAACUGAACAUCUAACUUUCCAAAUUGGAUUAUUGUGAUAGUUGCUAGUACUAUUGAUGCAAUUUACAAAUCAUAAUUAUAUCUACUGUGGAUUGCUUGUAUUUAGCCCUAACUGAACAUCUAACUUUCCAAAUUGGAUUAUUGUGAUAGUUGCUAGUACUAUUGAUGCAAUUUACAAAUCAUUGAUGCAUAUCUAAAUCAUAGUCUUAACUUCGAUGAUGAAACUCCGAUAAUUUGAAAAAAACCAUCAAAGUUGAUCAACUGUGGUAAGGUAGCGGUGGUAGUAAGUGUACUACAUUCCACCACGGGUUAAGGUCCGUUGUGAAAAAGUGGAUAACGUGCUACAUUUUACCAUAGUUAGAAAUUCCAACUGUGGUGAUAUGUAGUCAGCCCAAUUUUCACCACGAUUCGAAACUCCAACCAUGGUGAAAUGUCAGUCAACCCACUUUUCACCACGGUUGGAAGUUCCAACCAUGGUGAAAUAUCAUUCAACCCACUAUUCACCACGAUUGGAAGUUCCAGCCGUGGCAAAAAGUCAAUCAACCCAAUUUUUUAUUUAUUUUUGCCACAUGUUUUGACUGACUACAUUGAGAACUUUCAUCAUAAUAUAUAACUCAAAAUAUUUCUAACACAAGAACAAGAACAGCAAGAACAAUAACAAUAAUAAGCAGAACAACAAGAGCAAGAACAAGAAAAAUAAAAUAACAAGAACAAUAAAAACAACAACGAAAUAAAAUCAAUUGGAUCAUUAAACAUUAAAUCUCAACAACAACAACAACAAAACAAAAUCUACACAAUCGCUAAAUAUUAAAUAUCAACAACAACAACUACAAUCAUAAAAAAACAACAACAAAAAAACAACAACAAUAAAAAUAAAAUCAAUAAAAUCAUUAAACCACUACUACAAAAAAGACAUCUUAUAGUAGAUGUUACAUCGGUUACACAUACGAGGUAACCAGGACGAUAUGAAAAAUGGUCACUUUACCCACCGGUUCCUAAAUAACCAAGGGGUAAAGUGGCGAUGUCAUGUGAUUGAUCCCUAGUGAGAUCCUUGAAGGAAUAUUAAUUGCGAAAAAACUUAUCCCCUCGAUUUUGAAAUAUAACCGACGGGUAAAAUAAGCUUGAGUUUAUUAUAUCUAUUGUGGAUUGCUUGUAUUUAGCCCUAACUGAACAUAUAACUUUUCAAAUUGGAUUAUUGUGAUAGAUGAUAGUACUAUUGAUGCAAUUUACAAAUCAUUGAUGCAUAUCUAAAUCAUUGUUUUAACUUCGACAAUCAAACUUCCACAAUUGGAAAAAAAACCAGCAUAGCUGAUCAACCGUGGUAAGGUAGGGGUGGUGGUAAGUGUGCUACAUUCCACAACGGGUUAAGGUUCGUUGGUAAAAAAUGGAUAACACGCUACAUUUUACCAUAGUUAGAAAUUCCAACUGUGGUGAUAUGUAGUCAGCCCACUUUUCACCACAGUUCGAACUUCCAAAGGUUCGUUGGUAAAAAAUGGAUAACACGCUACAUUUUACCAUAGUUAGAAAUUCCAACUGUGGUGAUAUGUAGUCAGCCCACUUUUCACCACAGUUCGAACUUCCAACCAUGGUGAAAUGUCAGUCAACCCACUUUUCACCACGGUUGGAAGUUCCAACCAUGGUGAAAUAUCAUUCAAUCCACUUUUCACCACGGUUGGAAGUUCCAGCCGUGGCAAAAAGUCAAUCAACCCAAUUUUUUAUUUAUUUUUGCCACAUGUUUUGACUGACUACAUUGAGAACUUUCAUCAUAAUAUAUCAUUCAAAAUAUUUCUAACACAAGAACAAGAACAACAAGAACAACAACAAUAAUAACAACAACAAGAAGAGCAAGAACAAGAAAAAUAAAAUAACAAGAACAAUAAAAACAACAAUGAAAUAAAAUCAAUUGGAUCAUUAAACAUAAAAUCUCAACAACAACAACAACAACAAAACAAAAUCAGCAUAAUCGCUAAAUAUUAAAUAUCAACAACAAUAACAACAAUAAUAAAGACAACAACAAAAGAAAAUAAAAUCAAUAAAUUCAUUAAACCACUACUACAAAAAAGACAUCUUAUAGUAGAUGUUACAUCGGUUACACAUACGAGGUAACUAAGGACGAUAUGAAAAAUUGUCACUUUACCCACCGAUUUCUAAAUAACCAAGGGGUAAAGUGGCAAUGUCAUGUGAUUGAUCCCUAGUGAGAUCCUUUAAGGAAUAUUAAUUGCAUAAAGACUUAUCCCCUCGGUUUUGAAAAAUAACCGACGGGUAAAAUAAGCUUGAGUUUAUUAUAUCUACUGUGGAUUGCUUUUAUUUAGCCCUAGCUGAACAUCUAACUUUUCAAAUUUGAUUAUUGUGAUAGUGAUAGUACUAUUGAUGCAAUUUACAAAUCAUUGAUGCAUAUCUAAAUCGUGGUCUUAACUUCGAUAAUGAAACUUCCACAAUUGGAAAAAAAAACCAUCAUAGUCGAUCAACCGUGGUAAGGUAGGGGUGGUAGUAAGUGUACUACAUUCCACCACGGGUUAAGGUCCGUUGUGAAAAAAUGGAUAACACGCUACAUUUUACCAUAGUUAGAAAUUCCAACUGUGGUGAUAUGUAGUCAGCCCACUUUUCACCACGAUUCGAACUUCCAACCAUGGUGAUAUAUCAGUCAACCCACUUUUCACCACGGUUGGAAGUUCCAACCAUUGUGAAAUAUCAUUCAACCCACUUUUCACCACAGUUGGAAGUUCCAGCCGUGGCAAAAAGUCAAUCAUACCAAUUUUUUACUUAUUUUUGCCACAUGUUUUGGCUGACUACAUUGAGAACUUUCAUCGUAGUAUAUAAUUCAAAAUAUUUCUAACACAAGAACAAGAACAACAAGAACAACAACAAUAAUAAUAACAACAACAAGAGCAAGAACAAGAAAAAGAAAAUUACAAGAACAAUAAAAACAACAACGAAAUAAAAUCAUUUGGAUCAUUAAACAUUAAAUCUCAUAAACAACAACAACAAAACAAAAUCAACACAAUUGCUAAAUAUUAAAUAUCAACAACAACAAUAACAAUAAUAAAAACAACACUAAAAGAAAAACAACAAGAAAAAUAAAAUCUAUAGAAUCAUUAAACCACUACUACAAAAAAGACAUGUUACAGUAGAUGUUACAUCGGUUACACAUACGAGGGAACCAAGGACGAUAUGAAAAAUUGUCACUUUACCCACCGAUUUCUAAAUAACCAAGGGGUAAAGUGGCAAUGUCAUGUGAUUGAUCCCUAGUUAGAUCCUUUAAGGAAUAUUAUUUGCGAAAAUACUUAUCCCCUCGGUUUUGAAAUAUAACCGACGGGUAUAAUAAGCUUGAGUUUAUUAUAUCUACUGUGGAUUGCUUGUAUUUAGCCCUAACUGAACAUCUAACUUUCCAAAUUGGAUUAUUGUGAUAGUUGCUAGUACUAUUGAUGCAAUUUNAAAAGAGAGAGAUAAGUUUAGAUGUUCAGCAUUAGGCUAAAUACAAAGCAAUCCACAGUUAGAUAUAAUAACCUCAAAGCUACUGUUACCGUCGGUUAUAUUUCAAAAACCGAGGGUAUAAGUUUUUUCGUCAAACUAAUAUUCUUAAAGGAUCUCACUAGGGAUCAAUCACAUGACAUUGCCACUUUUACCCCUUAGUUUGUUUAGAACGGUGCGGGUAAAGUGACAGAUUUUUCUUCAUGUCUCCUUGUUUACCUUCGUAUGUGUAACCGACUUGGAACAUCUACAUUGUAAAUGUCUUUUUUUUGUAGUAGUGGUUAAUGAUUUUAUUGAUUUAUUUUUGUUUGUUGUUUUGUUGGUUUUAUUGGCAAUAUCUAUUAUAUAUAAUUUAAUUGGCGAUUGUGUUUGAUAUUUUGUUGUUGUUGUUUUUGAGAUUUAAUGUUUAAUGAUCAAUUGAUUUUAUUUCGUUGUGUUUUAUUGUCUUGUAUUUUCUUUUAACUUGUUCUUGCUCUUGUGUUGUUGUUGUUAUUAUUGUUUUUGUUCUGGAUUUCUUGUUCUUGUGUCUAGAAAUAUUUGAAUUAUAUAUUAUGAUGAAAGUUCUCAAUGUAGUCGUCAAAAACAUGUGGGCAAAUAAUAAAUAAAAAAUUGGGUUGAUUGACUUUUGCCACGGUACUGAAACUUCCAACUGGUGGUGAAAGGUGGUUUGAUUGAUAUUUCACCAUGGUUCGGAACUUCUAAACCGUGUGAAAAGUGGCUUGAUGACAUAUCACCAUGGGUUGGCAAGUUCAUAUCGUGGUGAAAAUGGUGAACUACAUAUCGACACAGUUUUCAAAUUUCUAACUAUGGCAGAAAUGUAGCGCGGUUAUCCAUUUUUUCACAACGGAGCUAUACCCAAGGUGAAAUGUAAGUACACUACUACCACCCGUACCUUACCACGGUUGAUCAACUAUGAUGCGUUUUUUUUCCAAUUGUGUGAAGUUUCAAUUAUUCGAAGGUUAAGAUGCAUAUUGGAGAUAUGCCAUCAAUGAUUUGUAAAUUGCAUCCAUAUAUAUCAUAGCUAAAAUCACAUAAUUAUCCAACUUGAAUAAGUUAGAUGUUCAGUCUAGGGUUAAAUAAGAAAAGCAAUCCAAUAUAGAUAUAAUAAACUCAAGCUUAUUUUACCCAGUCGGUUAUAUUUCAAAUAACCGAGGGGAUAAGUUUUUUCGGAAUUAAUAUUCCUUAAAGGAUCUCAUAGGGAAUCAAUCACAUGACAUUUCCACUUUACCCGCUUGGUUAUUUUGAAAUCGAUGUGGGUUAAUGACAAUUUUUCAUAUGCGUCCUUGUUACUCGUAUGUGUUACCCAUGUAACGAUCUACUGUAGAAUGUUUUUUGUAGUAGUGGUUUAAUUGAUUUAUGUGAUUUUAUAUUUUCUUGUUGUUGUUUUCUUUUUGUUAUGUUUUUUAUUAUUGUUUGUGUUUUGUUGUUGUUGAAUUUAAAAUUUUAAAAGUGUUGUGGUUGAUUUUGUUUUGUAUUGUUUGUUGUUUUGAGAAUUAAUGUUUAAUGCCAAUUGAUUUAUUAGUUCGUGUUGUUUUAAUUGGUCUCUGUAUUUCCUUUUACUUGUUCUUGUCUCGUGAUUUGUUGUUGUUAUUAUUGUUGUUGUUCUUGUGGUUCUUUGUCUUGUGUUAGAAAUAUUUUGAAUUAUAUGUAUUACUGAUGAAAGUUCUCAUAGUAGUCAGUCAAAACAUGUGGCAAAAUAAAUAAAAAUUGGUUGAUUGACUUUUAUGCCACGCUGGAACUCCAGCCUGUGGUGAAAAGUGGGUUGAAUGAUAUUCAACCAUGGUUGGAACUUCCUAACCGAUGGUGAAGGAAGUGGGUUUGAUUGACCAUAUUCACGCAUGGUUGGAAGUUUCGCUAUCGUGGUGAAAAAGUAGGGCUGACUACAUAUCACCACAGUUGGAAUUUCUAACUAUAGUAAAUGUAGCGCUGUUAUCCAUUUUUUCCACACGGACCUUAACCCGUUGUGGACAUGUAGUACACUUACUACACCCCUACCUUUACCACGGUUGAUCAACAUUAUGAAUGGUUUUUUUUUUUCGAAUUGUGGAAGUUCAUUAUCGAAGUUAAGCAUAUGAUUUAGAUAUGCAUCAAUGAUUGUAAAUUGCAAUCAAUGAGGUACUAGCAAACAUAUCACAAUAAUUCCAAUUUGAGAAUUAGAUGUUCAUUAGGGUUAAAUAAACAAUCCACAGUAGAUAUAAUAAACUUCAAGCUUAAUUAUACCCAGUCGGUUAUAUUUCAAACCGAUGGGGUAAGUUUUUUUCGCAAUUAAUUUCCUUAAAGGAUCUUCACUAGGGAUCAAGUCACACCCCCCUUUGACAUUGCCACUUUACCCCUUUGGUUAUUAGGAAAUUCGGUGGGUAAGUGACAAUUUUCAUAUCGUUCUUGUUACCUCGUAUGUGUAACCGAAUGUAGACAAUCUAUUGUAACAUGUCUUUUUGUUAGUAGUGUUUUAAUUGAUUUUAUUGAAUUUAUUUUGGUUUUGUUGUUUUUCUCUUUAGUGGUUGUUUUUAUUAAUUGUGUAUGUUGUUGUUGAAUAUUAACUAUUUACAUGGUGUCUGAUUUUGUUUGUUGUUGUUUGUUGAGUAUUCUAAUUUUAAUGAUUCCAAUUGAUUUUAUUUCGGUUUGUUUUGUUUUUAUUGUUCUUAGUAAUUUUAUUUUUCUGUUCUUGCUCUGUGUUGUAUUAUUAUUGGUUGUUGUUCUUGUUGUUCUUGUUCUUGUGUUAGAAAAUAUUAUUGAAUUAAAUAACAUGGAAUGAAAGAUUCUCAAUGUAGUCAGUCAAAAACAUGUGGCAAAAUAAGUAAAAAACUAUGGGUUGAUUGACUUUUUGCCAUGGCUGACGACUUCACGUGGUGAAAAAGUGGGUUGAAUGAUAUUUCACGCAUGGUGUGACUCAACGCGUGGUGAAAAGUGGGUUGAUGACAAUAUCACCAAUGGUUGGAAUUCUGAAUCGUGGUUGAAAGUUGGGCUGACUACAUAUCACCAAGUUUGGAUUUCUAACUCAAUGGUUAAAAUGUUAGCGCAGUUAUCCAUUUUAUCCACACGGACCUUAACCGUGGUGGAAUGUAGUACACCUUACUCACCAACCGCUCACCUUACCACGGUUAGAUCGAAAUAUGAGUGGUUUUUUCAAUUUGUGAAGUUUCAUUAUCGAAGUUAAACGACUUGAUUUUAGAUAUGCAUAAAUGAUUGGUAACUUGCAUCAAUGAGUACUAGUAACUAUCACAAUAAUCCAAUUUGAAAGUUAGUGUUAGUCUAGGGCUAAAUACAGCCAAUCCAACAAAUUAGAUAUAAUAAACUCAAGAUUAUUUUUACCCGUCAGUUUAAUAUUUCAAAACGAGGGGGAUCAGUUUUUCGGAAUUAAAUUCCUUAAAGGAUCUCACUAGGGAUCAAUCACAUGACAUUUGCCACUUUACCCGCUUGAGUUUUUAAGAACCGGUGGGUAAUGUGACAAUUUUCAUAUCGUCCCCUGUUAACCUUCGUAUUGUGUAACGAUAGUAAAUCUUGUAACAUGUCCUUUGUUGUCGUAGUGGUUUAAUGUUUUAUUGAUUUUUAUUUUUGUUGUUUGUCUUUUUGUUGUGUUUUUAUUAUUGUUGUGUUGUUUGUUGUGAUAUUUAAAUAGUGUUGUAGUUUUUUGUGAUUAAGGUAAUCAAUGAUUUUGUUGUUGUUCUUGUAUUUUUUUGUUUUUUUUGAUUUUUUGCAUUGUUGAUUUGUUGUUUUUGUAGAUUUAAUGUUUAAUGAUCUCAAUUGAUUUAUUCGUUGUUGUCUUUUAUUGUUCUGUUAUUUUCUUUUUUUCUUGCUGUGUUGUUGUUAUUAUGUGUUUUGUUCUUGGUGUGUUUCUGUUCUUGUGUUUAGAAAUAUUCUGAAUUAUAUAUUAUGAUGAAAAGUUUCAAAGUAAGUCAGUCAAAACAUGUGGCAAAAUAAAUAAAAAAUUUGGUUGAUUGACUUUUGCCACUAACUCCGUGGUAAAGUGUUCCAACUGAUUACCCGGUGAACUUCAACGUGGUGUUGAAUGCGUUGACUGACAUACCAUGGGUUGGAAGUUCCUUAUCGUGUGAAAAUUGGGUCUGCACUGCAUAUUCACCAUAGUUGGAAUUUUACUAACUAUGGUAAAAUGUAGCGUGUAUCCAUUUUUUUCACAACGGAGCUUACCACGUGUGGAAUGAGUACACACUUACCCCCCACCCUACCCACCCGGUUGAGUCAAGCUAUGAUGGUUUUUUUUCACAAUUGUGGAAGUUUCAUUAUCGAAGUUAAGAUCAUAAAGAUAUGCACAAUUGAUUUGUUAAAUUGCAUCAAUAGUACUAGCAAAACUAUCACCAAAUCCCAAUUUGAAAAGUUAGAUGUUCAGCUAAGGGCUUAAAUAAAAGCGAAUCCAACAUUACGACUAUAAUAAACCUCAAGCUUUUUACCGUCGGUUAUAUUUCAAAACCGAGGAUAGUUUUUUCGGAUUAUAUUCCUUAAAGGAUCUCACUAGGGAUCAUCAGCAUGACAUUGCCACUUUUACCCCUAUGUUAUUUAGAAGAAUCAGUGGAGAAGUGACAAUUGUUCAUAUCGUCCUUAGUUACCUCUAUGUGUAACCAAUGUAACAUCUACUGUAAGAUGUUUUUUGUGGUAGUGUUUAAGAUUUUUGUUGAUUUUAAUUUUAUUGUUGUUGUUUUUUUUUGUUUUGUUUUAUUAUUGUUUGGUUUUUGUUUGUUGAUAUUUAAUAUUUAGUGAUUGUGUUGAUUUUGUUUUAUUGUUGUUGUUGUUGAGAUUAAUGUUAAUGAUCCAAAUUGAUUUUAUUUCGUUGUUGCUUUUUAUUGGUCUGUUAUUUUCUUUUAACUUUUCUUGCUCCUGUUGUGUUGUUAUUAUUUUUGUUGUUCUUGGUGUUCCUUGUUCUUGUGUUAGAAAUAUUUUUGAAUUUAUAUAUAUAUGAUGAAAGUUCUCAAAGUAGUCAGUCAAAAAUGUGGCAAAAAUAAUAAAAAAUUGGGGUGAUUGGACUUUUUGCCACGGCUGAACUUCCAACCGUGGUGAAAAGUGGGUUGAUGAUAUUUUUACCAUGGUUGGAACUUCCAACGCCGUGGUGAAAGUGGGUUGACUGACAUUUCAGCCCAUGGUUGGAAGUUCUUAAUCGUGGUGAAAAUAGGGCUGACUACAUACUCACCCACAGUUGGAAUUUCUAAAACUAUAGUAAAAUGGUAGCGUGUUAUCAAAUUUUUUGCAACAACGAGCUUAACCACGUGGUGGAAGUGUAGUACACUUACUACCACCGCUACCUGUACCACGGUUGAUCAAUUAUGAUGGUUUUUUUCUGAAUUGUGGAAGUAUUCAUUAUCGAAGGUUAAGAUCAUGAUUUAGAUAUGCAUCAAUGAUUUGUAAAUUGCAUGCAAUAGUAACUUAGCAACCAAUAGAUGUUCCUUCGGUUACACAUACGAGGUAACUAAGGACGACAUGAAAAAUUGUCACUUUACCCACCGGUUCCUAAACAACCAAGGGGUAAAGUGGCAAUGUCAUGUGAUUGAUCCCUAGUGAGAUCCUUUAAGGAAUAUUAAUUCCGAAAAAACUUAUCCCCUCGGUUUUGAAAUAUAACCGACGGGUAAAAUAAGUUUGAGUUUAUUAUAUCUAAUGUGGAUUGCUUUUAUUUAGCCCUAGCUGAACAUCUAACUUUUCAAAUUGGAUUAUUGUGAUAGUUGAUAGUACUAUUGAUGCAAUUUACAAAUCAUUGAUGCAUAUCUAAAUCGUAGUCUUAACUUCGAUAAUGAAACUUCCACAAUUGGAAAAAAAAACCAUCAUAGUCGAUCAACCGUGGUAAGGUAGGGGUGGUAGUAAGUGUACUACAUUCCACCACGGGUUAAGGUCCGUUGUGAAAAAAUGGAUAACGCGCUACAUUUUACCAUAGUUAGAAAUUCCAACUGUGGUGAUAUGUAGUCAGCCCACUUUUCACCACGAUUCGAACUUCCAACCAUGGUGAUAUAUCAGUCAACCCACUUUUCACCACGGUUGGAAGUUCCAACCAUGGUGAAAUAUCAUUCAACCCACUUUUCACCACGGUUGGAAGUUCCAGCCGUGGCAAAAAGUCAAUCAACCCAAUUUUUUAUUUAUUUUUGCCACAUGUUUUGACUGACUACUUUGAGAACUUUCAUCAUAAUAUAUAAUUCAAAAUAUUUCUAACACAAGAACAAGAACACCAAGAACAACAACAAUAAUAACAACAACAACACGAGCAAGAACAAGUAAAAGAAAAUAACAGAACAAUAAAAGCAACAACGAAAUAAUAUCAAUUGGAUCAUUAAACAUUAAAUCUCAACAACAACAAAACAAAAUCAACACAAUCGCUAAAUAUUAAAUAUCAACAACAACAACAAUAAUAAAAACAACAACAAAAGAAAAACAACAACAAAAAUAAAAUCAAUAAAAUAAUUAAACCACUACUACAAAAAAGACAUCUUACAAUAGAUGUUCCUUCGGUUACACAUACGAGGUAACUAAGGACGACAUGAAAAAUUGUCACUUUACCCACCGGUUCCUAAACAACCAAGGGGUAAAGUGGCAAUGUCAUGUGAUUGAUCCCUAGUGAGAUCCUUUAAGGAAUAUUAAUUGCGAAAAAACUUAUCCCCUCGGUUUUGAAAUAUAACCGACGGGUAAAAUAAGUUUGAGUUUAUUAUAUCUAAUGUGGAUUGCUUUUAUUUAGCCCUAGCUGAACAUCUAACUUUUCAAAUUGGAUUAUUGUGAUAGUUGAUAGUACUAUUGAUGCAAUUUACAAAUCAUUGAUGCAUAUCUAAAUCGUAGUCUUAACUUCGAUAAUGAAACUUCCACAAUUGGAAAAAAAAACCAUCAUAGUCGAUCAACCGUGGUAAGGUAGGGGUGGUAGUAAGUGUACUACAUUCCACCACGGGUUAAGGUCCGUUGUGAAAAAAUGGAUAACGCGCUACAUUUUACCAUAGUUAGAAAUUCCAACUGUGGUGAUAUGUAGUCAGCCCACUUUUCACCACGAUUCGAACUUCCAACCAUGGUGAUAUAUCAGUCAACCCACUUUUCACCACGGUUGGAAGUUCCAACCAUGGUGAAAUAUCAUUCAACCCACUUUUCACCACGGUUGGAAGUUCCAGCCGUGGCAAAAAGUCAAUCAACCCAAUUUUUUAUUUAUUUUUGCCACAUGUUUUGACUGACUACUUUGAGAACUUUCAUCAUAAUAUAUAAUUCAAAAUAUUUCUAACACAAGAACAAGAACACCAAGAACAACAACAAUAAUAACAACAACAACACGAGCAAGAACAAGUAAAAGAAAAUAACAGAACAAUAAAAGCAACAACGAAAUAAAAUCAAUUGGAUCAUUAAACAUUAAUUCUCAACAACAACAACAAUAAAACAAAAUCAACACAAUCACUAAAUAUUAAAUAUCAACAACAAAACCAACAAUAAUAAAAACAAUAACAAAAGAAAAACAACAACAAUAAAAUUAAAAUCAACAAAAUCAUUAAACCACUACUACAAAAAAGACAUCUUACAGUAGAUGUUACAUUGGUUACACAUACGAGGUAACUAAGGACGAUAUGAAAAAUUGUCACUUUACCCACUGAUUUCUAAAUAACCAAGGGGUAAAGUGGCAAUAUCAUGUGAUUGAUCCCUAGUGAGAUCCUUUAAGGAAUAUUAAUUCCGAAAAAACUUAUCCCCUCGGUUUUGAAAUAUAACCGACGGGUAAAAUAAUCUUGAGUUUAUUAUAUCUAAUGUGGAUUGCUUUUAUUUAGCCCUAGCUGAACAUCUAACUUUUCAAAUUGGAUUAUUAUGAUAGUUGAUAGUACUAUUGAUGCAAUUUACAAAUCAUUGAUGCAUAUCUAAAUCGUAGUCUUAACUUCGAUAAUGAAACUUCCACAAUUUGAAAAAAAACCAUCAUAGUUGAUCAACCGUGGUAAGGUUGGGGUGGUAGUAAGUGUACUUCAUUCCACCUUGGGUUAAGGUCCGUUGUGAAAAAAUGGAUAACGCGCUACAUUUUACCAUAGUUAGAAAUUCCAACCGUGGUGAUAUGCCAGUCAACCCACUUUUCACCACGGAUGGAAGUUCCAACCAUGGUGAAAUAGCAUUCAACCCACUUUUCACCACAGUUGGAAGUUCCAGCCGUGGCAAAAAGUCAAUCAACCCAAUUUUUUAUUUAUUUUUGCCACAUGUUUUGACUGACUACAUUGAGAACUUUCAUCAUAAUAUAUAAUUCAGAAUAUUUCUAACACAAGAACAAGAACAACAAGAACAACAACCAUAAUAACAACAACAACAAGAAAAAGAAAAUAACAAGAACAAUAAAAACAACAACGAAAUAAAAUCAAUUAGAUCAUUAAACAUUAAAUCUCAAAAACAACAACAACAAAACAAAAUCAACACAAUCGCUAAAUAUUAAAUAUCAAUAACAACAACAACAAUAAUAAAAACAUCAACAAAAGAAAAACAACAACAAAAUAAAAUCAAUUGGAUCAUUAAACAUUAAAUCUCAAAAACAACAACAACAAAACAAAAUCAACACAACCACUAAAUAUUAAAUAUCAACAACAACAACAACACCAACAAUAAUAAAAACAACAACACAACACAACCACUAAAUAUUAAAUAUCAACAACAACAACAACACCAACAAUAAUAAAAACAACAACAAAAAGAAAAACAACAAGAAAAAUAAAAUCAAUAAAAUCAUUAAACCACUACUACAAAAAAGACAUGUUACAGUAGAUGUUACAUCGGUUACACAUACAAGGUAACAAGGGACGAUAUGAAAUAUUGUCACUUUACCCACCGAUUUCUAAAUAACCAAGGGGUAAAGUGGAAAUGUCAUGUGAUUGAUCCCUAGUGAGAUCCUUUAAGGAAUAUUAAUUGCGAAAAAACUUAUCCCCUCGGUUUUGAAAUAUAACUGACGGGUAAAAUAAGCUUGAGUUUAUUAUAUCUAUUGUGGAUUGCUUAUAUUUAGCCCUAACUGAACAUCAAACUUUCCAAAUUGGAUUAUUGUGAUAGUUACUAGUACUAUUGAUGCAAUUUACAAAUCAUUGAUGCAUAUCUAAAUCAUGAUCUUAACUUCGAUAAUGAAACUACCACAAUUGGAAAAAAAACCAUCAUAGUUGAUCAACCGUGGUAAGGUAGGGGUGGUAGUAAGUGUACUACAUUCCACCACGGGUUAAGGUCCGUUGUGAUAAAAUGGAUAAUGCGCUACAUUUUACCAUAGUUAGAAAUUCAACUGUGGUGAUAUGUAGUCAGCCAACUUUUCACCACGAUAAGAACUUCCAACCAUGGUGAAAUGUCAGUCAACCCACUUUUCACCACGGUUGGAAGUACCAACCAUGGUGAAAUAUCAUUCAACCCACUUUUCACCACGGUUGGAAGUUCCAGCCAUGGCAAAAAGUCAAUCAACCUAUUUUUUUAUUUUUUUUUGCCCCAUGUUUUGACUGACUACUUUGAGAACUUUCAUCAUAAUAUAUAAUUCAAAAUAUUUCUAACACAAGAACAAGAACAAUAAGAACAACAACAAUAAUAAUAACAACAACAAGAGCAAGAACAAGAAAAAGAAAAUAACAAGAACAAUAAAAACAACAACGAAAUAAAAUCAAUUGGAUCAUUAAACAUAAAAUCUCAACAACAACAACAACAAAACAAAAUCGACACAAUCGCUAAAUAUUAAAUAUCAACAAAAACAACAAUAAUAAAAACAACAACAAAAGAAAAACAACAACAACAAAAAUAAAAUCAAUAAAAUCAUUAAACCACUACUACAAAAAAGACAUGUUAAAGUAGAUGUUACAUCGGUUACACAUACGAGGUAACCAAGGACGAUAUGAAAACUUUUCACUUUACCCACCGAUUUCUAAAUAACCAAGGGGUAAAGUGGCAAUGUCAUGUGAUUGAUCCCUAGGAAGAUCCUUUAAGGAAUAUUAAUUGCGAAAAAACUUAUCCCAUCGGUUUUGAAAUAUAACCGAUGGGUAAAAUAAGCUUGAGUUUAUUAUAUCUACUGUGGAUUGCUUUUAUUUAACCCUAGAUGAACAUCUAAAUUUUCAAAUUGAAUUAUUGUGAUAGUUGAUAGUACUAUUGAUGCAAUUUACGAAUCAUUGAUGCAUAUCUAAAUCAUAGUCUUAACUUCGAUAAUGAAACUUCCACAAUUGGAAAAAAAAAAACCAUCAUAGUUGAUCAACCGUGGUAAGGUAGGGGUGGUAGUAAGUGUACUACAUUCCACCACGGGUUAAGGUCCGUUGUGAAAAAAUGGAUAACGCGCUACAUUUUACCAUAGUUAGAAAUUCCAACUGUGGUGAUAUGUAGUCAGCCCACUUUUCACCACGAUUCGAACUUCCAACCAUGGUGAUAUGUCAAUCAACCCACCUUUCACCACGGUUGGAAGAUCCAACCAUGGUGAAAUAUCAUUCAACCCACUUUUCACCACAGCUGGAAGUUCCAGCUGUGGCACAAACUCAAUCAACCCAAUUUGUUAUUUAUUUUUGCCACAUGUUUUGACUGACUACAUUGAGAACUUUCAUCAUAAUAUAUAAUUCAAAAUAUUUCUAACACAAGAACAAGAACAACAAGAACAACAACAAUAAUAACAACAACAACAAGAGCAAGAACAAGAAAAANNNNNNNNNNNNNNNNNNNNNNNNNNNNNNNNNNNNNNNNNNNNNNNNNNNNNNNNNNNNNNNNNNNNNNNNNNNNNNNNNNNNNNNNNNNNNNNNNNNNNNNNNNNNNNNNNNNNNNNNNNNNNNNNNNNNNNNNNNNNNNNNNNNNNNNNNNNNAAAAUUACAAGAACAAUAAAAACAACAACGAAAUAAAAUCAAUUGGAUCAUUAAACAUUAAAUCUCAAAAACAACAACAACAAAACAAAAUCAACACAACCACUAAAUAUUAAAUAUCAACAACAACAACAACACCAACAAUAAUAAAAACAACAACAAAAAGAAAAACAACAAGAAAAAUAAAAUCAAUAAAAUCAUUAAACCACUACUACAAAAAAACAUGUUACAGUAGAUGUUACAUCGGGUACACAUACGAGUUAACCAAGGACGAUAUGAAAAAUUGUCACUUUACCCACCGAUUUCUAAAUAACCAAGGGGUAAAGUGGAAAUGUCAUGUAUUGAUCCCUAGUGAGAUCCUCUAAGGAAUAUUAAUUCCGAAAAAACUUAUCCCCUCGGUUUUGAAAUAUAACCGAUGGGUAAAAUAAGCUUGAGUUUAUUAUAUCUACUAUGGAUUGCUUUUAUUUAACCCUAGAUGAACAUCUAACUUUUCAAAUUAAAUUAUUGUGUUUAGUUGAUAGUACUAUUGAUGCAAUUUACAAAUCAUUGAUGCAUAUCUAAAUCAUAGUCUUAACUUCGAUAAUGAAACUUCCACAAUUGGAAAAAAAACCAUCAUAGUUGAUCAACCGUGGUAAGGUUGGGGUGGUAGUAAGUGUACUUCAUUCCACCUUGGGUUAGGUCCGUUGUGAAAAAAUGGAUAACGCGCUACAUUUUACCAUAGUUAGAAAUUAGAAACUGUGGUGAUAUGUAGUCAGCCCACUUUUCACCACGAUUCGAGCUUCCAACCAUGGUGAUAUGCCAAUCAACCCACUUUUCACCACGGUUAGAAGUUCCAACCAUGGUGAAAUAGCAUUCAACCCACUUUUCACCACAGUUGGAAGUUCCAGUCGUGGCAAAAAGUCAAUCAACCCAAUUUUUUAUUUAUAUUUGUCACAUGUUUUGACUGACUACAUUGAGAACUUUCAUCAUAAUAUAUAAUUCAGAAUAUUUCUAACACAAGAACAAGAACAACAAGAAAAACAACAAUAAUAAUAACAACAACAACAAGAGAAAGAACAAGAAAAAGAAAAUAACAAGAACAAUAAAAACAACAACGAAAUAAAAUCAAUUAGAUCAUUAAACAUUAAAUCUCAAAAACAACAACAACAAAACAAAAUCAACACAAUCGCUAAAUAUUAAAUAUCAAUAACAACAACAACAAAAAUAAAAUCAAUAAAAUCAUUAAACCACUACUACAAAAAAGACAUGUUACAGUAGAUGUUACAUCGGUUACACAUAGAAGGUAACAAGGGACGAUAUGAAAAAUUGUCACUUUACCCACCGAUUUCUAAAUAACUAAGGGGUAAAGUGGAAAUGUCAUGUGAUUGAUCCCUAGUGAGAUCCUUUAAGAAAUAUUAAUUGCGAAAAAACUUAUACCCUCGGUUUUGAAAUAUAACCGACGAGUAAAAUAAGCUUGAGUUUAUUAUAUCUACUGUGGAUUGCUUGUAUUUAGCUCUAAUUGAACAUCUAACUUUCCAAAUUGGAUUAUUGUGAUAGUUGCUAGUACUAUUGAUGCAAUUUACAAAUCAUUGAUGCAUAUCUAAAUCAUGAUCUUAACUUCGAUAAUGAAACUUCCAAAAUUGGAAAAAAACCAUCAUAGUUGAUAAACCGUGGUAAGGUAGGGGUGGUAGUAAGUGUACUACAUUCCACCACGGGUUAAGGUCUGUUGUGAAAAAAUGGAUAACGCGCUAUAUUUUACCAUAGUUAAAAAUUCUAACUGUGGUGAUAUGUAGUCAGCCCACUUUUCACCACGAUUCGAACUUCCAACCAUGGUGAUAUGUCAAUCAACCCACUUUUCACCACGGUUGGAAGAUCCAACCAUUGUGAAAUAUCAUUCAACCCACUUUUCACCGCAGCUGGAAGUUCCAGCUGUGGCACAAAGUCAAUCAACCCAAUUUGUUAUUUAUUUUUGCCACAUGUUUUGACUGACUACAUUGAGAACUUUCAUCAUAAUAUAUAAUUCAGAUAUAAAGAUUGUGUUCUUGUUCUUGUUGUUCUUGUUGUUGUUAAAUAACAACAACAUCAAGAGCAAGAACAAGAAAAGGAAAAUUACAAGAACAAUAAAAACAACAACGAAAUAAAAUCAAUUGGAUAUUUAAACAUUAAAUCUCAAAAACAACUACAACAAAACAAAAUCAACACAACCGCUAAAUAUUAAAUAUCAACAACAACAACAACAACAACAAAAACAACAACAAACAAAAUAAAAUCAAUAAAAUCAUUAAACCACUACUACAAAAAAAACAUUUUAGAAUAGAUGUUACAUCGGUUACACAUACGAGGUAACUAAGGACGACAUGAAAAAUUGUCACUUUACCCACCGAUUUCUAAAUAACCAAGGGGUAAAGUGGCAAUGUCAUGUGAUUGAUCCCUAGUGAGAUCCUUUAAGGAUUAUUAAUUGCGAAAAAACUUAUCCGCUCGGUUUUGAAAUAUAACCGACGUGUAAAAUCAGUUUGAGUUUUAUUUAUCUAUUGUGGAUUGCUUUUAUUUAGCCCUAGCUGAACAUCUAACUUUUCAAAUUGGAUUAUUGUGAUAGUUGACAGUACUAUUGAUGCAAUUUACAAAUCAUUGAUGCAUAUCUAAAUCGUAGUCUUAACUUCGAUAAUGAAACUUCCACAAUUGGAAAAAAAGCAUCAUAGUUGAUAAACCGUGGUAAGGUAGGGGUGGUAGUAAGUGUACUACAUUCCACCACUGGUUAAUGUCCGUUGUGAAAAAAUGGAUAACGCGCUACAUUUUACCAUAGUUAGAAAUUCCAACUGUGGUGAUAUGUAGUCAGCCCACUUUUCACCACGAUAAGAACUUCCAACCAUGGUGAAAUGUCAGUCAACCCACUUUUCACCACGGUUGGAAGUUCCAACCAACCACUUUAUAGUAAGUUGGGUGAAAAGUGGUGCCAACCUUCAAGGUCCCGUGGCAAAAAGUCAAUCAACCCAAUUUUUUAUUUAUUUUUGCCACAUGUUUUGACUGACUACUUUGAGAACUUUCAUUAUAAUAUAUAAUUCAAAAUAUUUUUAACACAAGAACAACAACAACAAGAACAACAAUAAUAAUAACAACAACAACAAGAGCAAGAACAAGAAAAAGAAAAUAACAAAACAAUAAAAGCAACAACGAAAUAAAAUCAAUUGGAUCAUUAAACAUUAAAUCUCAACAACAAAAACAACAAAACAAAAUCAACACAAUCGCUAAACAUUAAAUAACAACAACAACAACAACAAUAAUAAAAACAACAACAAAAGAAAAACAACCACACAAAUAAAAUCAAUAAAAUCAUUAAAAUACUACUACAAAAAAGACAUCUUACAGUAGAUGUUCCUUCGGUUACACAUACGAGGUAACUAAGGACGACAUGAAAAAUUGUCACUUUACCCACCGAUUCCUAAAUAACCAAGGGGUAAAGUGGCAAUGUCAUGUGAUUGAUCCCUAGCGAGAUCCUUUAAGGAAUAUUAAUUGCGAAAAAACUUAUCACCUCGAUUUUGAAAUAUAACCGAUGGGUAAAAUAAGCUUGAGUUUAUUAUAUCUAUUGUGGAUUGCUUGUAUUUAGCCCUAGCUGAACAUAUAACAUUUCAAAUUGGAUUAUUUUGAUAGUUGAUAGUACUAUUGAUGCAAUUUACAAAUCAUUGAUGCAUAUCUAAAUCAUAGUCUUAACUUCGAUAAUGAAACUUCCACAAUUGGAAAAAAAACCAUCAUAGCUGAUCAACCGUGGUAAGGUAGGGGCGGUAGUAAGUGUACUAUAUUCCACCACGGGUUAAGGUACGUUGUGAAAAAAUGGAUAACGCGCUACAUUUUACCAUAGUUAGAAAUUCCAACUGUGGUGAUAUGUAGUCAGCCCACUUUUCACCACGAUUCGAACUUCCAACCAUUGUGAUAUGUCAAUCAACCCACUUUUCACCACGGUUGGAAGUUCCAACCAUGGUGAAAUAUCAUUCAACCCACUUUGCACCACGAUUGGAAGUUCCAGCCGUGGCAAUAAGUCAAUCAACCCAAUUUUUUAUUUAUUUUUGCCACAUGUUUUGACUAACUAUAUUGAGAAUUUUCAUCAUAAUAUAUAAGUCAAAAUAUUUCUAACACAAGAACAAGAACAACAAGAACAACAACAAUAAUAACAACAACAACAAGAGCAAGAACAAGAAAAAGAAAUUAACAAGAACAAUAAAAACAACAACGAAAUAAAAUCAAGUAUGACUUAAUCAUGAGUCGAGCUUUAUUGUGAAGUGGGAUAACAUUAAAGCAUGAAGACUAUUAUGUUUAUAGACUGAUGAUCACAUCUCAUGGAUCAUGGAUAAGGAGUUAUCAAGUCUGAAACAUAGGUAUGAAUAUUAAGAGUAAAUAUUAACUGGAUUGACCCGCUAAUGAAUACCUAAUAUAGAAUGUUACGGCAAAGGUCAUAAGUUUAUUCUAUGGUGGAUAAUGUACGUAUAACCACCGCUUCGACCUGAAACACUAUGGACCCCUAGAUGUAGAGUCGAGUGCUUAUAUGCUGAUCAAGAAGUUGCGAACUGAUGACCAUAAGAUAGUAUGGGUAUCCCCACGACCCAUAGCAAGGACAUAGUGAACCUAGAUGGAAUUUUGCCGCAUCCCUCGUAACAUGGAUAAAAUUCUAGUGGCCCAAAUAUUGAACUGGACAAGGAUGACAGCUAAUGCUCUGUGGUCACAUAAGCAUAAGGUAAAGGGUAAUUAUCACAUAAUAUUAUCACAUAUAGAUUUGUCAGAUCACAAUGACAUUUUCUGUUGCUUGGGUAGCAGUGAAUGUGUUGCUAGAUACAAACUCACUGUUUAUUAUUUAAGAAUACGUGAAAAAAUUAAAUAAAUAAAAUUACCCAACGCCGCGAAACCUAUAGGGUCACACACAAAGGAAGGAUGAUGAGAGAUAAGUAUCUAAGGAAUACCGUAAUGUACGGAUGCCCUUUAAGUGAAUUAUAAACAUCGUAAGGUACGGUGACUUAAGUAGAAUACGAAAUAUGGUAAGGUACCUUACGAGCUUUAAGAUGAUUGGCAUAUUAAAAUAUGGCCAUAAAUCACUUAAGUGGGUUUUAGCUGAAGCCCACACAAGUGAGUUCUAUAAAUAGACCCUUGGGUAGAAAGCAUUGUCUCUUUCCAAUUUCGUUUCUCUCUUCUUCUCUCACUCAAAGCCUUCAAUUCAUAGCAGCUAGCACUGAGAUUGAAGGAAUCCGUUCGUGUGGACUGAGUAGAGACGUGUCAUCGUUCAACAGUUCGUGAUCGCCAACAAGACGGUAACGAUUCAUCACGAUCAUGUCCAUCUCGUGGAUCAUUAAAGGAGAAAUUUUUAAAUUCCGCUGCGUUUGAGAUCGCUAAUCUCCUUCAGUGGUAUCAGAGCCACUUACGAAACAUGAAUUGUAUAUUUAUUUUUCUAUAAUAUACAAUUAAAGACAGAAUGAAUCAAAGAAUAAACGAGUAAUUAAAUCGAGAUCGAUCAGUUUUUAUAUACUGAUAUAAUAUAUCCUGAUGCAAAAUACGAUAUAUAAUGAUAUACUGUUCCUGUUCAUUCAUUCAAACACUUAAUGGUUGUUUUCCUUUGAGCGAUCAAUGGUCGUUUGCUUCUUGAUCCGACAUUAGUAAUGGUGAAGCAAUGAUGUGUUGAUCAAUCAUACCUGAAUCAACAAUCGAGAUGUGUUUGACGGUCUGAAUAUGGUGCAUUAGGGUUAGUGACGGCACAAGGUUGUGUUGUCAAAGAGUAUGCGAUUGGGUUGUGACUGCACAAAGAGUUUUACUUUAUAACAGAUUUAACAGUGUUAACCGGUUAACGUAUUUGGUUAACGGCGGUUUAACGCAAGACGGAAUACUGCUUUAUAACAGAUUUCAAACCAGUGUUAACCGGUUAAUGUAUUGGUUAACCGUAUACGCAGAACGGAAUACUGCUUUCUAACAGAUUUCAAACAGUGUUAACCGGUUAACGUGUUUGGUUAACUGGUUAACGCAAGACGGAUACAAUUUUCUAACAGUUUUUCACAAGUGUACCGUUAACGCAUUGGUUAACCGUUAAGCAAGACAGAAUACAUCCGUCGGCUAACUCUGUAGUGUGAUCGGUCGUACGAGAUUAUAAUUUGGUUUUAAUUAAUAUAAAAGAAUUAAAAUUAUAUAUAUUAAUGUGUUUAUUAUGUUGUCUUGUGGUGAUCGAUUAUGGCCUUAGUUUUCCUUAUUUUGUUUUGGAUUUUUAAAAUAAACUGCGUGUCGUGCCUCCUCUAUUUAAAUCUCUCAAUGAUAACUUCUUUUCCAUAAUACCCUCGUAUGUAAACGAGUUUCUUUAUGUAAUAAUAUGUUAUGAAGAAAGAAAAGAAGUCAGUGCCAAAAAGAGACAACCUUGAAGAUUUGCUUGAAGAAGCUUAGAUCGUAUAUUAAGUUAACUUAGUUCUCAUUGGCUGGGAGAACAAUGCGCCUAGGGGCUAACUGUUUCAUAUAUAAUAUAGUAUGUUGAUGCAUGUGAAUGUAGUUGAUGCAUGUGAGAGACAUUUAUAUGAUAAAUAGCCGCGUGAGAUCAGAAUAAUUGCAAAUUCCCUCUCAAAUUAAUAUUAAGUUUAUGCUUUCCAAGUUUUAACACUCAUCAGACUAGUAUCGGAUAAUGUAGGUUCGCCUACGCGAGGUGCAUGUUCUAUAUUAGUAAGGUGCGAUGGGAAAUUGUAAUAUCCAAUUGUUAAAACAAAUGGGUCCAAACUUAACUAACAAAUUAAUAAUAAGAUUAUAUUGCUUUAGAAGCAAGAGUUGGCAAAUGAUCCAUGUACACACUCAUUUAAGCCGAUGAGAAUAGGAGUUAUUCACGCAAACUAACAAAUAUUCACGAGAGUUGAUAAUUAGAAUAAUUGGAAAGGAGUUCCUACUAGAAUACACCUAGUUUUGUGUAAUCCGCCUACGCGGGACUUAAAACGAACUGAAAUUGGAUCGCUGACCCACUAGAAAAUCUUCCCAACGGGGAUUGUUCCGAAUCAAAUGAGUGAGGGUCAUUUAUUUUGCAGUAAAAUAGUGGGAGCGUAUUUAAUUACAUAGGGCUAAUUAAAUAAUGUUAUUAAUACUUAUAUUUCCUGAUUAAUUCUUAUGUAGCAUUACCAUGACAAACAAACACGCUCUAACAACAUCUUGCCCAUCAUCUUGCAAAGAAAAAUUGUUAGGACAAAUCUUCUGGAUUGGCACCGGAAACCUGAGGAUUAAUCCUAAACAUAUAAAAUCUGUUAAUGUCUUGGAGAACCUUGUUCUGAAGAGGAACCUCCUAGUUCUGGCACCUAAGGAAAGAAAUAGAGCUUAUAAGAGCAUGUCUGAUGAUGACAAAAUGAAACUGACUUGUCUCAUGCUAGCUACCAUGACUCAGAAAAUGCAAAGCAACAUGAGAACUGGCAGACAGUUCGAUAAUGAUCGAACCCUGAAUAUGCUUACUAUCAAGAAGGCAAGCCAAAGGCAUGAAAGAGUUUAAAGUUCAAAGCCAUUUUUAUCAGGAAAGUUAGCUGAGGGAGGCCCCUGUAAUGUCCCCAUAAUGGCUCAAGAUGCAUUGGGUCAUGUGAGCAAAACCUUGCAGGAGAUGGUUGUUCCUCCUCGGAAACGGAAUUCGACUGAUUUGGAUCUGCAAUCUUGCCAAUGAUCAAAGUCAAUUUGUCCUAAAUUUCAAUGAUAAAAUGAUGGACAAAUCUCUUCUGAACUGCUGCCAAUGUUAAGAACGUGCUGAGCCCCAGAAUCUGAAGUCAAAAGGGUAAGUCCAUUUCUGAUGAUCGGAAAAUGGAAAGAGAACAAAACAAAAUGGACCACACAAAGCAGAAAUGAUAAAGGGAAGAAGGAAGUAUGCCAAACCCAAACCCACCGUUGCUGCUUAAAGCCCUAUGGAGACUAGCAUAGAGGCACCGCUUCAAUUGCGGUAGCAGACGGACACUGGAAGAGACUAGCCAAAUACUGAAAGAUCAAGAAGAUGAGUAGAGACUAUCACUUCAAGUAUGUUUUGUUAUUGAAUUAACUUUAUCUACUUCUGCAUCAAUGGGUAUUGAUACUGGAAUUGCGGUCUUCACAUUUCCAUGCGGGACUAAAAAAGGAUAGAGAUUGGCAAAAGGUGAAGUUCACCUAACGAGUUGCGCAACUACAAAAGGACGCAAAGGAUUGUCUGCUUUAGCCGUAGAACUAUAUGUAUUUGACAUUGAUACCUAGUGGUUUUAAUAAUUCAGUUAGAGAAUGUUAUUAUGUACCUGCAAUAGCAGGAAUAUUAUUUUCGUUUCUUGUUUGAGCAAUGUGGUUUUCUCAUUUAUAAUAAAGAACAUAUUGUUGCUUCAUUUAUUUGAACUGAUAAAUUCUAUGCUAACUGCACCAAUGAACAAUGGACUAAUAUGUCCUUGAUCUUGAAAUGCUAUUUAUAACCAUAUACUAAAAGGAUGAAACCAGAGUUAUCCAAGCUUACCUUUGGCUUCGGUCAUUAGGCCACAUAAAAUGAGAAACACAUUCCACAACUCCAUUAAGAUGGACUCUUUGACUCUUUAAUAUUAAUGAAAUAUUGAGACAAAUGCAGAUCUUGUAUUUAAUUGAAGAUGACACAAGUCUCCAUCCUCACGGAGAAAAGGGGAAGAGCUAACUGAUCUUCUUGAGCCCUUACUACAUCACUGAUCGUAUAGAUGAGCCAAAUGACAUACCAAGCAGGGAGGUUUCAGUACUCCUGUUCAAUUACAGCUGACGUUCAUAGAUGGUAUAGUACUUAAACAAAUCGAAGGAGUUCCUUUUGAACACACACCGUCCUCUCACAGACAAUUCACGAAGAAUAGAGUACACAGAACAUAGGUAAAUAUUAAAACUCUUCGAUCAAAGCAUCGAGGUGGUGGUAUUUAAGCCUAGAUUUUUGAUGACCAUCACUGAAAAGAGGUGUGGAUCUAUCCUAUACUUACUCCUCUCAUAGAGAAACACCCAAUGAAUGGGUGAUCUGAGGAAGAAAUCGAACCCUGUUAGACAUGGUUCUGUCCAUGAUGAGUCAACGCCGAUGCUUCCAAACUCCUUUUGGGACAUGCCACUUACUAGACACAUCACGAUCUACCACACUUAAACCGUAAAGUCUCAAAAAGGUUUUGGAGAAGACACAAAUAUUGAGGUAUGGAGUGGUAAGAAAAUCCCCACAUAUGUCCUUACAAUGUAAGAUUUGGGGUUGCGAAAGCAUUUAUGUAGAAACGACAAAUAUUCAAACUAAGCUUCGGAGGCCAAAAUCUGACAAUGCUUAUUUUUGUGCGGUAAUCCUAAAGAAACAAAAGGGUAGCUACUCUCUACAGAUCCAAUAUCCAGAGGGCAAAGUCGUUUAGUCCGCGAACUUGGAGUUUUCCUAGAAGGAUUUUAUUUGCCCAAAGGAAUCAGUGGAGGAAAGUAGAGCUUGAAGAAAUUUCAAGAAUCACAAAGCAUCGAUAACACCUAUGGGGAAUUAGAGCAGCGAAAACACAAGUAGUUUUGUGGAAGAGCACCUGCCUCAAGUAGAACAAGACAGCGUAGGUCCAGACAGGAAUACAUCAACAUACUGGAGAUACGGAUAUCUCAUGACUGAUUUAAGGUGAUGUAUUACUCAUGGAUCAAGAUGAGUCUGUGACGCUACUAAAAGAGGCCAUACAAAUGGUCCCCCAAACCACCGAGUCUAGAGAAGUGGCUAAAGAACGCCAUGAAAUCUGAAAAUGGAUUCCCAUGUACACAAAACUCAGUAUUGGACCUUGGUAGAAGCAUCCUGUAGGAUUAACUUAUAUAGGAAUGCAAGUGGGUCUUCAAAAAGAAGACUGAACAUGGAUGGCAAAGGAUAUAAACAAAUUCAUGGGGUUGACUAUGAUGAAACCUUUUAUCACCCAGUUUGCAAUGCUUAAAAUCUGUUCGAUUUAUACUUGCUAUGAUGCCAUAUCAAUUGGAAAUUUAUGAAAUAUGGCAGAUGGAUGAUUAAAUAAACGCUUUCCUUAAUGGGAAUCUUCUUGAGGCUGUGUACAUAUACAACCUGAAUCAGGAUUUGACAUACCAGAAGAAGCCCAAAAGAUAAUGAAAGUUUACAAAGGUCAAUAAUAUGAUUGAAAGCAAGCUUCUUAGAACGUAGCAUAUAACUCUCGUUUUGGAUGAAACAGAUUGAAAACAAAAAUGGAUAAUCAUCAAGAAGCGAUAGCCCAUGACCUUGAAGUGUCUACAAGAAGGUUAGUGGGACAUGAACGUUUCCCAACUGUAUUAUAUGUAGAUGACAAUAUUAAUCAUUGGAAACGAUAUCUCUACCUAGAGCAACAGUAAAGUCUAUGGUUGACAGGAAAAUGCCCUUUUCUAUGAAGGACCUAGGUGAAGUAGCCUAUAUAUUAGGAUACCAGCAAUUCUAUAAAGAUAGAUCAACAAAAACUGCUUGCCUAAAGUCCAGAGUAACGUAAACAUAGACAAAGUGCUGAGCCACACGCUUUAACAUGCAUGAAUUUCCAAGAAAAGGAUUCAUAGUCCUAUGCCACAUGGCCUGCUGACUGUCAAACACAAAUCCCCUCUCAAACAUAAGGCAAGAGGGAUUCGCAUGAAAUAAGAUCCAUAUGCAUCUGGCAAUAGGAUCUAUCAUGUAUGCAAGUCAAUGAUACUUCGCCAUGUCUUCGUAAUGCUUUUAAGUGCGACGAGAUCAACUAGCCGGUACCCAAUUGACUCCUGGUGAUAGCCACCAUCCAUGGGUAGUCUGUCAAGAAAUAUCUUAAAGUAUUAUGAGAAGCCAGACUAAGGAGCUCCACUUCUUGAUAUAUGGAGAGGUAUCAGGAGAGCUAGAGCCGUAAAAGAUUUGGAUACACCGAUGCUUAAGCUUCCUAGACAGAGUAAGGAUGAACUUUAAGAUCGCAAUCUGGUUGCGUGUUUUUGGAGCUUACAACGGUGGAGCAUAGUGAGCUGGAGAAACGUUCAAAGCAAGAAUACAAAUUGCUGGAUCUACAAAAUCCGACGCAACGAGUAUAUUGCUGCCUCAAAGUGCAGCAAGAGGAAGUUGUCUUGGAUCAAAAAGUUCAUUACGCUCGAAAAUGAGCAUAUUCCUAGCAUUGUGGAAUCCCAUUAGAUCUCUAUUGGUGAUAAACAAUAGGUGCUAAUCGCAACAAGCUAAGGAGAGCGUAGAUCUCCCAACGAUCCAAACACAUCCUUAGGCAUUAUCACCUCAAUCUACGAGAGUGAAUAUGACAUCAGCCCAGGAGAUGUGAAUACUGCAGAAGUACCCCACCAACGUGAAUGAAUGCGCACGCACUGAACAGCCUACCUUGACAGCAGAAGACAUGAUGGCCAUACUAGAUCUAUGGGCAUUAGGGGUAUGCCUGAUUGGCUAUAAGUGCCUGUGGGCACGAAUUUUGGGAUGUAGAGACCCUAGCAAGCCAAACCUUUAGAGCUAGCAUGAUCUCCUGCCCAUAAUGAAUCAAACCUUGAUAGCACAGAUGCCACAAGGCCGGCGAUACACAGAAACAGUUGAAUGAUGACAACAGUCUUCGCUCCAGUCCACUCGAGACGGCAUUCCUUCAAUCCGACAGUGGGCCUANGUAUGGUGAAGCAAUGAUGUGUUGAUCAAUCAUACUGAAUCAACAAUCGAGAUGUGUUUGACGGUCUGAAAUUGGUGCAUUAGGGUUAGUGACGGCACAAGGGUUGUGUUGUCAAAGAGUUAUGCGAUUGGGGUUGUGACUGCACAAGAGUUUUACUUUAUAACAGAUUUUCAAACAGUGUUAACCGGUUAACGUAUUUGGUUAACCGGUUAACGCAAGACGGAAUACUGCUUUAUAACAGAUUUUCAAACAGUGUUAACCGGUUAAUGUAUUUGGUUAACCGGUUAACGCAAGACGGAAUACUGCUUUCUAACAGAUUUUCAAACAGUGUUAACCGGUUAACGUGUUUGGUUAACUGGUUAACGCAAGACGGAAUACAAUUUUCUAACAGUUUUUCAACAGUGUUAACCGGUUAACGCAUUUGGUUAACCGGUUAACGCAAGACAGAAUACAUCCGUUCGGCUAACUCUGGUAGUGUGAUCGGUCGUCGAGAUUUAAUUUGGUUUUAAUUAAUUAAAAGAAUUAAAAUUAAUAAUAAUUAUUAUGUGUUUAUUAUUGUUGUCUUGUGGUGAUCGAUUAUGGCCUUAGUUUUCCUUUAUUUUGUUUUGGGUUUUAAAAUACGACUUGCGUGUCGUGCCUCUCUUUUAAUCUCUCAAUGUAACUUCUUUUCUCAUCUCACUCCCUCGUAUGUAAAACGAGUUUCUUUAUGUAAUGUAAUGUUAUGAAGAAAGCAAAGAAGUCAGUGCCAAAGGAGGACAACCUUGAAGAUCUUGCUUGGAGAAGCUUAGAUCGUUAUUAGGUUAGCUUAGGUUCUCUCAUUGGCUUGGGAGAACAAUUGCGCUAGGGGCCAUAACUGUUUCAUUUUGUAUGUAUGUUGAUGCAUGUGAAUGUAUGUUGAUGCAUGUGAGAGACGAUUUAUAUGAUAAACAAGCCGGUGAGAUCAUAACAAUUGCAAUUCCCUCAAACUAAAAUAUUAAGUUUAUGCUUUCCAAGUUUUAGCACUCAUCAAGACUAGUAUCGAAUAAUGUAGGUUUCGCCAAAGCGAGGUGCAUGUUCUAUAUUAGUAAGGUGCGAUGGGAUAAUUGUAAUAUCCAACUGCUAAAACAAUGGGUCAAACUUAACUAAACAAAUUAUGAUGAUAUUAUAUAUGCUUGCUUUCCAAGUUUUAGCACUCAUCAAGACUAGUAUCGGAUAAUGUAGGUUUCGCCAAAGCGAGGUGCAUGUUCUAUAUUAGUAAGGUGCGAUGGGAUAAUUGUAAUAUCCAACUGCUAAAACAAUGGGUCAAACUUAACUAAACAAAUUAUGAUGAUAUUAUAUAUGCUUGCUUUCCAAGUUUUAGCACUCAUCAAGACUAGUAUCGGAUAAUGUAGGUUUCGCCAAAGCGAGGUGCAUGUUCUAUAUUAGUAAGGUGCGAUGGGAUAAUUGUAAUAUCCAACUGCUAAAACAAUGGGUCAAACUUAACUAAACAAAUUAUGAUGAUAUUAUAUAUGCUUGCUUUCCAAGUUUUAGCACUCAUCAAGACUAGUAUCGGAUAAUGUAGGUUUCGCCAAAGCGAGGUGCAUGUUCUAUAUUAGUAAGGUGCGAUGGGAUAAUUGUAAUAUCCAACUGCUAAAACAAUGGGUCAAACUUAAUUAUAAUUUUCUUAUAUAUGUUUUAGAAGCAAGAGUUGGGAAUGAUCCAUAUGAUGGAUUGGAAUAAGGAGUUAUUCACCCAACUGAAAUUUUCGAGAGUUGUAUGAGAUACAAUUGGAAGGAGUUCCUACCUAAAUAACCUAGUUUUGUGUAAUCCGCCUACGCGGACUUAGAACGAAGUGAAAUAUGGAUCUCGACCCACUAGAAAAUCUUCCAACGGGAUUUUCCGAAUCAAAUGAUGAGGGUCAUUUGUUUUGAGUAAAAUAGUGGGAGCAUAUUUGAUUAAAGGCCUAAUUAAAUAUGUCAAUGAUACUUAUAUUUUCUUAAUCCUUAUGUAGAUAACCAUGACAGCAAACACCUCUAACAACAUCUUGCGAUCAAUCCUUGACAAGGAAAAAUUGUCUGGGACAAAUUUUCUGGAUUGGCACCGAAACCUGAGGAUUAUCCUCAAACAUGAUAAAAAGUUGUAUGUCUUGGAGACACCUGUUCCUGAAGAGGAACCUCCUAGUUCUGCACCUAAGGCAGAAAGAGAUGCUUAUAAGAAGCAUGUCGAUGAUGCCAAUGAAACUGCUUGUCUCAUGCUGGCUACCAUGAACUCAGAAUUGCAAAAGCAACAUGAGAACAUGUCAGCGUUCGAUAUGAUCGAACACCUGAAGCUGCUCUAUCAAGAGCAAGCAAGGCAUGAGAGGUUUGAAGUUUCAAAAGCCCUUUUUCAAAGCAAGUUAGCUGAGGGAGCCCCUGUAGGUCCCCAUGUACUCAAGAUGAUUGGGUAUGUGGAAAACCUUGAGAGAUUGGGUUUUCCCCUCGAAAAGGAACUUGCAACUGAUUUGAUCUUGCAAUCGUUGCCAGAUAGUUUCAGUCAAUUUGUCCUAAAUUUCAAUAUGAUUGAUAUGGACAAAUCUCUUCCUGAACUGCUCGCCAUGUUAAGAACUGCCGAGCAGAAUCUGAAGUCAAAAGGGAAGUCCAUUCUGAUGAUCGGAAAUGGAAAGAGACAGAACAAAAGGCCCACUAAGCAGGGUGAUAAAGGGAAAGGCAAGGAAGUUGCCAAACCCAAACCCACCGUUGCUGCUUUGAAGCCUAGUGGAGGCAUAGCAAAGGAAGGCACCUGCUUCCAUUGCGGUAAGACCGGACACUGGAAGAGAAACUGCCCAAAGUACCUGGAAGAUAAGAAGAAUGGAGUAGAGACUUCAACUUCAGGUAUUUUUGUUAUUAAAAUUAAUUUAUCUACUUCUGCAUCAUGGGUAUUAGAUACUGGAUGCGGUUCUCACAUUUGUACAAAUGUGCAGGGACUAAAAAGGAGUAGAGAUUUGGCAAAAGGUGAAGUCGACCUACGAGUUGGCAAUGGAGCAAAGGUUGCUGCUUUAGCCGUAGGAACUUAUGUAUUGACUUUACCUAGUGGUUUAAUAAUUCAGUUAGAGAACUGUUAUUAUGUACCUGCAAUUAGCAGGAAUAUUAUUUCCGUUUCUUGUUUGGACAAGUUUGGUUUUUCAUUUAUAAUAAAGAACAAUUGUUGCUCAAUUUAUUUGAAUGAUAUAUUCUAUGCUACUGCACAAAUGAACAAUGGACUAUAUGUCCUUGAUCUUGAAAUGCCUAUUUAUAACAUUAAUACUAAAAGGAUGAAACCUAAUGAGUUAAAUCCAACUUACCUUUGGCAUUGUCGAUUAGGCCACAUAAAUGAGAAACGCAUUUCCAAACUCCAUAAAGAUGGACUCUUGGACUCUUUUGAUUAUGAAUCAUAUGAGACAUGCAGAUCUUGUUUAAUUGGAAAGAUGACAAAGUCUCCAUUCACAGGAAAAGGUGAAAGAGCUAAUGAUCUUUUGGCCCUCAUACAUACUGAUGUAUGUGGACCACUGAACAUACCAGCCAGAGGAGGUUUUCAGUACUUCAUCACAUUUACUGAUGAUUUCAGUAGAUAUGGUUAUGUGUAUUUAAUGAAACACAAAUCAGAGUCCUUUGAAAAGUUCAAGGAAUUCAAGAAUGAAGUACAAAACCAACUAGGUAAGAAUAUUAAAACUCUUCGAUCAGAUCGAGGUGGUGAGUAUUUAAGCCUAGAGUUUGAUGACCAUCUGAAAGAGUGUGGGAUCCUAUCCCAACUUACUCCUCCUGGAACACCCCAAUGGAAUGGUGUAUCUGAGAGAAGAAAUCGAACCCUGUUAGACAUGGUCCGAUCCAUGAUGAGUCACGCCGAUCUUCCAAACUCCUUUUGGGGACAUGCACUAUUGACAGCAGCUUACACACUUAACCGUGUUCCAUCCAAAAAGGUUGAGAAGACACCAUAUGAGAUAUGGAGUGGUAAGAAACCACAUAUGUCUUACAUGAAGAUUUGGGGUUGCGAAGUUUAUGUGAAACGACAAAUUUCAACUAAGCUUGAGCCCAAAUCUGACAAAUGCUUAUUUGUGGGGUAUCCUAAAGAAACAAGAGGGUAUUACUUCUACAAUCCUUCUGAGGGCAAAGUGUUUGUCGCUCGAACUGGAGUUUUCCUAGAAAAGGAUUUUAUUUCCAAAGGAAUCAGUGGGAGGAAAGUAGAGCUUGAAGAAAUUCAAGAAUCACAAAGCAUCGAUACACCUAUGGAGGAAUUAGAGCAGGAAACACAAGUAGUUGUGGAAGAGCAACCUGCUCAAGUAGAACAAGACCAGCGUAGGUCAAGCAGGAUACGUCACCUACCUGAGAGAUAUGGAUAUCUCAUAACUGAUCAAGGUGAUGUAUUACUCAUGGAUCAAGAUGAGCCUGUGACCUACCAAGAGGCCAUAACUGGUCCCGAGUCUGAGAAGUGGCUAGAAGCCAUGAAAUCUGAAAUGGAUUCCAUGUACACAAACCAAGUUUGGACCUUGGUAGAGCCUCCUGUAGGAGUUAACCCUAUAGGAUGCAAGUGGGUCUUCAAAAAGAAGACUGACAUGGAUGGUAAGGUACAUACCUAUAAGGCAAGACUGGUUGCAAAAGGAUAUAAACAAAUUCAUGGGGUUGACUAUGAUGAAACCUUUUCACCAGUUGCAAUGCUUAAAUCUGUUCGGAUUUUACUUGCUAUCGAUGCAUAUCAUGAUUAUGAAAUAUGGCAGAUGGAUGUUAAAACUGCUUUCCUUAAUGGGAAUCUUCUUGAGGAUGUGUACAUGAUACAACCUGAAGGAUUUGACAUACCAGAAGAAGCCCAAAAGAUAUGGAAGUUACAAAGGUCAAUAUAUGGAUUGAAGCAAGCUUCUAGAAGCUAGAAUCUUCGUUUUGAUGAAACAGUAAAACAAAAUGGAUUCAUCAAGAACGAAGAUGAGCCUUGUGUCUACAAGAAGGUUAGUGGGAGCAUGAACGUUUUCCUGGUAUUAUAUGUAGAUGACAUAUUACUCAUUGGAAACGAUAUCUCUACCCUGCAACAAGUAAAGUCUUGGUUGGGGAAAUGCUUUUCUAUGAAGGACCUAGGUGAAGUAGCCUAUAUAUUAGGAAUCAGAAUCUAUAAAGAUAGAUCACAAAAACUGCUUGGCCUAAGUCAGAGUACGUACAUAGACAAAGUGCUGAGACGCUUUAACAUGCAUGAUUCCAAGAAAGGAUUCAUACCUAUGCAACAUGGCCUGUGUCUGUCAAAAACACAAUCCCCUUCAACUAAGGAAGAAAGGGAUCGCAUGAAUAAGAUUCCAUAUGCAUCUGCAAUAGGAUCUAUCAUGUAUGCCAUGUUAUGUACUCGACCAGAUGUCUCGUAUGCUUUAAGUGCAACGAGUAGGUACCAAUCUGAUCCUGGUGAUGCCCAUUGGGUAGCUGUCAAGAAUAUCCUUAAGUAUUUGAGAAGGACUAAGGACUCAUUCUUGAUAUAUGGAGGUCAGGAAGAGUUGGCUGUAAUUGGAUACACCGAUGCUAGCUUCCAGACAGAUAAGGAUGACUUUAGAUCGCAAUCUGGUUAUGUGUUUUGCUUAAACGGUGGCGCUGUGAGCUGGAAAAGUUCAAAGCAAGAUACAGUUGCUGAUUCUACAACCGAGGCCGAGUAUAUUGCUGCCUCAAGUGCAGCAAAGGAAGCUGUUUGGAUCAAAAAGUUCAUUAGUGAACUUGNNNNNNNNNNNNNNNNNNNNNNNNNNNNNNNNNNNNNNNNNNNNNNNNNNNNNNNNNNNNNNNNNNNNNNNNNNNNNNNNNNNNNNNNNNNNNNNNNNNNNNNNNNNNNNNNNNNNNNNNNNNNNNNNNNNNNNNNNNNNNNNNNNNNNNNNNNNNNNNNNNNNNNNNNNNNNNNNNNNNNNNNNNNNNNNNNNNNNNNNNNNNNNNNNNNNNNNNNNNNNNNNNNNNNNNNNNNNNNNNNNNNNNNNNNNNNNNNNNNNNNNNNNNNNNNNNNNNNNNNNNNNNNNNNNNNNNNNNNNNNNNNNNNNNNNNNNNNNNNNNNNNNNNNNNNNNNNNNNNNNNNNNNNNNNNNNNNNNNNNNNNNNNNNNNNNNNNNNNNNNNNNNNNNNNNNNNNNNNNNNNNNNNNNNNNNNNNNNNNNNNNNNNNNNNNNNNNNNNNNNNNNNNNNNNNNNNNNNNNNNNNNNNNNNNNNNNNNNNNNNNNNNNNNNNNNNNNNNNNNNNNNNNNNNNNNNNNNNNNNNNNNNNNNNNNNNNNNNNNNNNNNNNNNNNNNNNNNNNNNNNNNNNNNNNNNNNNNNNNNNNNNNNNNNNNNNNNNNNNNNNNNNNNNNNNNNNNNNNNNNNNNNNNNNNNNNNNNNNNNNNNNNNNNNNNNNNNNNNNNNNNNNNNNNNNNNNNNNNNNNNNNNNNNNNNNNNNNNNNNNNNNNNNNNNNNNNNNNNNNNNNNNNNNNNNNNNNNNNNNNNNNNNNNNNNNNNNNNNNNNNNNNNNNNNNNNNNNNNNNNNNNNNNNNNNNNNNNNNNNNNNNNNNNNNNNNNNNNNNNNNNNNNNNNNNNNNNNNNNNNNNNNNNNNNNNNNNNNNNNNNNNNNNNNNNNNNNNNNNNNNNNNNNNNNNNNNNNNNNNNNNNNNNNNNNNNNNNNNNNNNNNNNNNNNNNNNNNNNNNNNNNNNNNNNNNNNNNNNNNNNNNNNNNNNNNNNNNNNNNNNNNNNNNNNNNNNNNNNNNNNNNNNNNNNNNNNNNNNNNNNNNNNNNNNNNNNNNNNNNNNNNNNNNNNNNNNNNNNNNNNNNNNNNNNNNNNNNNNNNNNNNNNNNNNNNNNNNNNNNNNNNNNNNNNNNNNNNNNNNNNNNNNNNNNNNNNNNNNNNNNNNNNNNNNNNNNNNNNNNNNNNNNNNNNNNNNNNNNNNNNNNNNNNNNNNNNNNNNNNNNNNNNNNNNNNNNNNNNNNNNNNNNNNNNNNNNNNNNNNNNNNNNNNNNNNNNNNNNNNNNNNNNNNNNNNNNNNNNNNNNNNNNNNNNNNNNNNNNNNNNNNNNNNNNNNNNNNNNNNNNNNNNNNNNNNNNNNNNNNNNNNNNNNNNNNNNNNNNNNNNNNNNNNNNNNNNNNNNNNNNNNNNNNNNNNNNNNNNNNNNNNNNNNNNNNNNNNNNNNNNNNNNNNNNNNNNNNNNNNNNNNNNNNNNNNNNNNNNNNNNNNNNNNNNNNNNNNNNNNNNNNNNNNNNNNNNNNNNNNNNNNNNNNNNNNNNNNNNNNNNNNNNNNNNNNNNNNNNNNNNNNNNNNNNNNNNNNNNNNNNNNNNNNNNNNNNNNNNNNNNNNNNNNNNNNNNNNNNNNNNNNNNNNNNNNNNNNNNNNNNNNNNNNNNNNNNNNNNNNNNNNNNNNNNNNNNNNNNNNNNNNNNNNNNNNNNNNNNNNNNNNNNNNNNNNNNNNNNNNNNNNNNNNNNNNNNNNNNNNNNNNNNNNNNNNNNNNNNNNNNNNNNNNNNNAAAGCACUCGACUCUACAUCUAGGAUCCAUAGUGGUUUCAGGUCGAAGAGUGGUAUACACUAUUAUCACCAUGAGAAUAACUUAUGACACUUUGCAUAACUUUCUAUAUAGUAUUCUCAUAGCGGGUCAAUCCGGUAUAAAUAUUACUCUUAAUAUUCAUACCUAUGUUUAAGACUUGAUAACUCUUUAUCCAUGAUCCAUGAGAUGUGAUCAUCAGUCUACAAACAUAAUAGUCUUAAUGCUUUAAUGUUAUCCCACUUCACACUAAAGCUCGACUACGGAUACUUUAAGAAUAGUGUCCUUAUGUUUAAUGUGUUCUCAUGAUUAAGUCACACUUAAUACAUUAAACGGACUAUCUAUUCCAGGGACUUUAUUAAUCAACCAUAAUAAAGAAAAUGCCUUUAAAUAAUUCGAUACAAGUACCAAAAGUAUUGGCCUCUAGGGCUUACACCAACAGCCAAUACUUUUGGUACUUGUAUCGAAUUAUUUAUUAAUAAUAAAAGGCUUUUUCUUUAUUAUGUUUGUUUAAUAAAGUCCCACUUUUCAUCACGGUUGGAAGUUCCAACCAUGGUGAAAUAUCAUUCAACACACUUUUCACCACGGUCGGAAGUUCCAUCCAUGGCAAAAAUUUAAUCAACCCAAUUUAAUAUUUAUUUUUGCCACAUGUUUUGACUGACUACAUUAAGAACAUUCAUCAUAAUAUAUAAUUCAAAAUAUUUCUAACACAAGAACAACAAGAACAUCAACAAUAAUAACAACAAAAUCAAGAGCAAGAACAAGAAAAAGAAAAUAACAAGAACAAUUAAAACAACAACAAAAUAAAAUCAAUUGGAUCAUUAAACAUUAAAUCUCAACAACACCAACAACAAAACAAAGUCAACACAAUCGUUAAAUAUUAAAUAUCAACAACAACAACAAUAAUAAAAACAACAACAAAAGAAAAACAACAACAAAAAUAAAAUCAAUAAAGUGGAAAUGUUAAACAUACGAGGUAACUAAUGACGAUUUAAAAAAUAUUAAAUAUCUUAUAGUUGAUGUUACAUCGGUUACACAUACGAGGUAACUAAUGACGAUUUGAAAAAUUGUCACUUUUCCCACCGAUUUCUUAAUAACCAAGGGGUAAAGUGGAAAUGUCAUGUGAUUGAUCCCUAGUGAGAUCCUUUGAGGAAUAUUAAUUGCGAAAAAACUUAUCCCCUCGGUUUUGAAAUAUAACCGACAGGUAAAAUAAGCUUGAGUUUAUUAUAUCUAUUGUGGAUUGCUCGUAUUUAGCCAUAGCUGAACAUAUAACUUUUCAAAUUGAAUUAUUGUAAUAGUUGCUAGUACUAUUGAUGCAAUUUACUAAAUCAUUGAUGCAUAUCUAAAUCAUAGUCUUAACUUCGACAAUGAAACUUCCAUAAUUGGAAAAAAAAACCAUCAUAGUUGAUCAACCGUGGUAAGGUAGGGGUGGCAGUAAGUGUACUACAUUCCACCACAGGUUAAGGUUCGUUGCGAAAAAAUGGAUAAUGCGCUACAUUUUACCAUAGUUAGAAAAUCGAAUAGUGGUGAUAUGUAGUCAACCCACUUUUCACCAUGAUUCGAACUUCCAACCAUGGUGAAAUGUCAGUCAACCCACUUUUCACCACGGUUGGAAGUCCAACCAUGGUGAAAUAUCAUUCAACCCACUUUUCGCCACGGUUGGAAGUUCCAGCCGUGGCAAAAAGUCAAUCAACCCAAUUUUUUAUAUAUUUUUGCCACAUGUUUUGACUGACUACAUUGAGUACUUUCAUCAUAACAUAUAAUUCAAAAUAUUUAUAACACAAGAACAAGAACUACAAGAACAACAACAAUUAUAACAACAACAACAAGAGCAAGAACAAGAAAAAGAAAAUAACAAGAACAAUAAAAACAACAACGAAAUAAAAUCAAUUGGAUCAUUAAACAUUAAAUCUCAAUAACAACAACAAUAAAACAAAAUCAACACAAUCGCUAAAUAUUAAAUAUCAACAACAAUAAUAAAAACAACAAGAAAAGAAAGACAACUGUCGCAUCCGCGAAAAAACAACCGGCGGGACUCAAAUAAAAACACAACACAGAGCCGCCACUGCGCGUUAUUUAUCCCAAGAUAGGGAAAGGAAACGCUCAGAGAAACCUGGAAAGGAAAUGAUUUUGACCCAUUUGCCAUUUCGCAUUGUGAAAUUCUGCAUGCCUAAAAGAAAUGUUUGAAAUUUUUGUGGUGAUUCUAGACAUGUGCUGGGGUUUACAAUGUAAAGUUCAAUUUUUGAUACCUGUGGAGUGAGAUAUGAUUUUUGAAACUUAGUGUGACAAUUUGUGUCAGCACUUAGCUAAGGUCAACUUCAAUGAAAUUAUUUGCCUAGCCUAAUGAUUGUUGGAAAUGAGUUGAAUUUUGCAUGGAUGAUUAUUGAUCAUGUUAGGUGUGAUGUGAAGUUUCUGGAUUUUUUGUGGCAUUUUCAAUUUGAUUGGUAUUUUUCAUCUGCUGUUGUCAAAUGUGCAAGUUCAUGUGUACAUGCUUGAAUAUCUUGUUGAGAAUGCUCAUUAUGUUUUAGAUGAACAUGCAAUUUGGUAUGAUGGUUGUAGACACAUUGUAGGACAUCCCUGUUUUGGUCCCAUUCAUUUCUUAAUUGUUUUCAAUUGACUUAUGAUUUUUUGAAGUGAAUGUAUGUGUUGAUGGCUAUGAAUUGGCUUACAUAAUCUUGUCUGGAUUUCUUGAUUUCAUUGACAUAGUUCUUGUCCAAUGAGCUGAAAAUUGACAUGCGAUACCUUGAAUAUGUCCUGUUUAGGUGUAAAUUAUUUGAGGAUUUUGGAAUUGUUUUGAUUAUGCUUUUGAGUGCAAUAGUUCUGUUUGGACAUUGGAUGUUGCAUUUGACCGUAGUUUGACUCUGUUUUGGUCAUGCAAAUGAAUAUGAUGAAUGGUAGAAGUAUGGGAUCAAAUUGAUUUGCUUUCUAUUUGCUUAACUUGAUUUUGGUUGACGAAUUACUUGGCUGUUUGAAUUUUUUCUCCCUUUUGGACCCUAGGCUUGGCUAGUGGUCAGUUUCUCACAUUUGGAUGACUUUUCAGGAUGAAAUGCACAAAGCUUAAGGAGAAUGAUUCAAGUCAAUAAAAUUGAAUUUGUUUGAUGUGGAGAGACUAACAUAACUUUGUUUUGUAGGUUUGUGAGCUUGAGCUUGAGCUUGUAGCUUGCCAUUAUGUGGCUUGUGUUUGUUGUAUAAGUCUGACUGAUUAACAUUUGCUGUUUCUUGUUGUCUGUCUGAGUGCUGAAUGAACUGCGAUUGAUUUCAGUACAUUUAGCUCGCUUACAGUUCUUUAAAGAACUUGCUUGCUGCUGCUGUGUUUUUAAACCACUUGAGGUAGGACUUCUAUUCUUCAUGUAGUCUGGGAGCACGCGGCUGUUUACUUGGCCGGGCAAAAAUGCUGAAGUCCUCCUUAAGAGGCGAUGUUUGUGAUUGUUUAAUAUUGUGCCUAAGCAGGUGAAGUCCUCUAUGAGGCAUUGGUGGAACGCCAAGGGAUAUGCAAUCUAUCCCCCACUAUUCUGUGAGUCGUCCUCUGCUCACACGGCUAUGUGUUGAUGCAUUGGGACACAAACGCCAAGAUCUUGUGUUGUUGCACCAUCGAGUCAGAGUCUUUGAGCGUAGAAGGGGUCCCUCCAUUCUGGACCACGCUCCUUUGGUCUGAAGCUCUCGCCUGGUCAGGAUAAGAGCUGUGAGGUCUCACCUCACUCACCUUUUCAUCUGCUUCACCUUAGCCUCGUAAUGGGCAAGGUUAAGAGCGAGCAAUACCGCAUGUACAGAUGACUUGCUUCGGCAGUCAAACCAUUGUUUGAGCUUCACUUGGUUGGUUAUAGUGUGUGCUAUGUGAAUAUUUGUUUGAAAUGCUUGUUUUGACUCUGUAUGCUUGUAUGCUGCUUUCUUCUACGGAUAGGAGUAGCUUGCGCAGUUGUGCAAGUAGUAGAACACCCAACGUAGGGUAAAUGAUGCCCUGACAACACUAGGCCUCGAGUCCAGCUCCCCUGGUAGUGCGUCUUCCCGUGGUUUCUGCUAGAUUUUUUUCCCUUGAGGGGGAACUACAUCGCCCUGAUGCCUCGUGCCAGACGAGGUAUGUAGGCAGGAGGUCGUGCGAGACCUCUCCGGCACUUUUUUUUUUUUUUUUUGUGUGUGUUUGGCUUGUUAUCCUGAUUGCGUUUUUUGGUUCGGAUGCCGACGUAAGCGCAGUGAUUGGCAGUCGGGCUCCNNNNNNNNNNNNNNNNNNNNNNNNNNNNNNNNNNNNNNNNNNNNNNNNNNNNNNNNNNNNNNNNNNNNNNNNNNNNNNNNNNNNNNNNNNNNNNNNNNNNNNNNNNNNNNNNNNNNNNNNNNNNNNNNNNNNNNNNNNNNNNNNNNNNNNNNNNNNNNNNNNNNNNNNNNNNNNNNNNNNNNNNNNNNNNNNNNNNNNNNNNNNNNNNNNNNNNNNNNNNNNNNNNNNNNNNNNNNNNNNNNNNNNNNNNNNNNNNNNNNNNNNNNNNUUAUCUGAUUGCGUGUUUGGUUCGAUGCCGACGUAAGUCAGUGAUUGGUGUCGGGCUCCAACGUUUGCCUUUUGGCUAGAUGUGUUUUGGUUCGGAUGCCGACGUUUCCAUCGAGUGGUUGUCGGGCUCCAUGUUUGCCAUUUGUUUGUGUGUUUGUGUUGUUUGGCGUGCGUAAGCCGAACUACAGUGGCUCUGAUUCUUGUUCCAGACAAGAUAUGUAGGCAUAGGAUGCGACGUCCUAUCGAGCUCCCUUCUGUUAACCCCACCUGCGUUCCCUGUUGUGGUGUGUGAUGUUUUUAGCAACCUAUUCUUUAUUUUAGAACCGUGGAUCCGUCGAGUCACGACGGACGUGAGGGGUGCUAAUACCUUCCCCUUGCGUAACCGAUCCCUUACCCUUUCUCUUUAGGUCGCAGGACCGAAUUGCAUACAAGUCAAACAACCCUAGGUCAAACCAAUUUUUCACCAAGCACAAUUUCUAAAAUUAUGUCCAUAAAAUUCUAGAGAGAAAAUGGGAACUAUAGAAAAAAUCCUCAUAUUUUUCUGAUCAUUAAAAUAUUUUUUAUGAAUUUUCUAAGAUUUAUGUGAUUUUUAAAUAAUUAUUGAAAUGUUAUUAUUUAAUUAAGAGGUUUCAGUGGCAGUAUGGUAAAUAUCCUAGGCCGGUCCCCCUUCAUUAAUGUGUUGUCACACCGCUAUUGGCUGCGCUUUGGAGGGAAACAACUUUCAAAAAUGAACCAUGGAACGAACGGAUCAAAAGCCAGAUUUUUCCAGAUUUCAAACCGUUCUUCCUCGCGCGCUCGUUCUUGAUCUGCAAAUUUGAGGAUGAACUUUUCCUCACGGAAAUUCACAAGCCAUACACCAUUCUCUCCGUCUCUUAACGCACAUCACUAAUAUGCUAACGAUUUCUAUUAAUUUCUACUGUACAUCACGAAUCGAGCUUGGAAAGGAAUGAACAUCCAACUACAAAUCGAGAUAUCUCCCUUAAUAGUGAACCAAAUCCAAAACUACAAAUUGCACGGUGUUCUACAUGAUGAGACCUACCUAAACCAUAUCAAGAUUUGCACAAUAGAGGAAUUCGAAUUCUGACCUUAAAAUGAAGACAGCAAGGAAUCCGCGAGCUUCAACAUCCAAAUUGUGAAAACAGAUGAAGAUUAACGUCCAGGAAGUUGAUUGGAGGUGUUAAGUUCAACUGAAGUUGCUUUUAAUGCACGAAUUCUUCAAAAGCCAUGGAUGCAUCACAUAUGAACAGUUGCGUUUGGUGAUGAUUUGGACGAUGAAUAACCAAAACAGUGGAAGAAGAUGAUGAUUGGAGAUGGCAGCAACAAGAAUUACACCAAUUGAUGGAGAAUUGGGAGAGAUUUUGGAUUUUUUUUGCUUAUGUGUUCUUGAGAGGUUUUUGAGAAAUUGGAGGGAAAAGAGAUUGAGAUUUUGGGAAAUGUGAAUUCUGUUAUGAGUUUGUUAGGAUUAGGAAUAUAUACACAUGAUUAAUCAAGCCUUAAUCACUUUAAUUAACAAAAGUGAAUGUAAUUAGCAUAAGUGUCAUUUUCAAUGGCAAGGGCAAAAUGGUAUUUUCAUACAAGCCUUGUGACAGCUCAUUGCCAGCUCACACAUGCCCUAAAUAUCUGUCAUGAGCUGUUGCAACUUGUCUCAUCUUCAUUGGAUGUGUAUUUCUCAUUUUCCCACAUGUCAUGGCACUUUUAUGCAUUUUCAAGUCCAUUUCAAAAAGUGAGUUCUCAAACCAUGAGGCCUUGACAUGUUAUGAGCAUUCAAACACUUCCGAAAUCAUGCAUUUGUGAGGUGUUACAAAAAUCCCCACGUCAAAAAUUCCCAUUAUUGUCUCAAGUUGGACCAUUUUGGCCCCUGGAUCUUUAAACUGUAGCACUGAAUUUGAGCUUUUGGCAUUAUCGCUUUUAUAUCACAGAUUAUCACNNNNNNNNNNNNNNNNNNNNNNNNNNUUUAACUGUACACUUGAAAUUUGACUUUUUGCAUUGACCAUUUUUGAUGAAUUCCAAUUAUGCACCAUGAAAGUACAUGUCAAAUUGAGUUUGUGCAUAAAAAGAUCACUCAAUUUGGACACUCCAUGUGGAAGUUAUGCCCCUCUGAUUAUGGGUCAUUUUUGAAAUUGACUGGACCAUAACUUGCCAACCAUACAUGGGAUUUUCAAGUUCUUGGACUUUUUGGAAAGGUGAGAACAAGAUCUACAACUUUCAUUUUGAACAAAUUUUCAUUUGAAGCUUCCUUGGACCUGUAAUUUUGAGGUCAAAAACUUUCCAUUUUUGGAAACUUCUAUUACAAGUCACUUUCUAUUUUUGGCAGUUUUUGUUCUGACUUGAUUUUCUUCAUUCUUAAGCUUUGAAAUGUCAAAUAACACUUGUUUCAACAUGAAUGAAGUGUAUCCAACUCAUUUCCACCUCCAAAUCCAUUAAAUCAUGUACAGUUGACCACAGUUGACUUUUUCAACUGAUAGAUGAAUUUGGCAAUGCACUGAUCAAUCUGAGCCCCAAUCCUCUGAUGAAAUGGCUCAAGGGUAAAACCCUAACCUCAAUAAGCACAAUAUAAUCAAAUAAUGAUCCCCAUAGACAUCAUAGACCCCAUUUCCUGAUCAUGCCCUGAUUGGCCCAAUGCAACUGAUUAGGGUUGACCAGUGGUCAAAACCCUAAUCUCAAGGUAUCUGCUUCAACACUUGAUGAAAUCAAACCAUGAUGAUGAUGAUGAAUCAUUGUAAUCAAGAUGAAGACCAAUAUCCUUUGAGAAUCAUGAAACCCUAAUUUGGACCUCCACAUCCUCAGAUGAUCAAUGACCAGUCCAAUGAAACCCUAGCUUGCACUUUGACUUCCUCAUCUUCUGAUCAAAACUUGGGAGGAUGACUUGCACAAUGUAACCACAUGAUAUGCAAUAUGCAAUGCCUAAUGACCUAAAAAUGAUAUGUAAUAUGUUAUGCUAGUCCCAAGAGAGGAGGGCAAAUUUUGAGGUGUUACAACAACAACAAACAAAAUAAAAUGAAUAAAAUCAUUAAACCACUACUAAAAAAAAGACAUCUUACAGUAGGUGUUACAUCGGUUACACAUACGAGGUAACUAAGAACGAUAUGAAAAAUUGUCACUUUACCCACCGAUUUCUAAAUAACCAAGGGGUAAAGUGGCAAUGUCAUGUGAUUGAUCCCUAGUGAGAUCCUUUAAGGAAUAUUAAUUGCGAAAAAACUUAUCCGCUCGGUUUUGAAAUAUAACCGACGUGUAAAAUCAGUUUGAGUUUAUUUUAUCUAUUGUGGAUUGCUUUUAUUUAGCCCUAGCUGAACAUCUAACUUUUCAAAUUGGAUUAUUGUGAUAGUUGACAGUACUAUUGAUGCAAUUUACAAAUCAUUGAUGCAUAUCUAAAUCGUAGUCUUAACUUCGAUAAUGAAUCUUCCCCAAUUGGAAAAAAAAACCAUCAUAAUUGAUCAACCGUGGCAAGGUAGGGGUGGUAGUAAGUGUACUAAAUUCCACCACGGGUUAAGGUCCAUUGUGAAAAAAUGGAUAACGCGCUACAUUUUACCAUAGUUAGGAAUCCAACUGUGGGGGUAUGUAGUCAUCCCACUUUUUACCAUGAUUCGAACUUCCAACCAUGGUGAAAUGUGAGUCAACCCACUUUUCAUCACGGUUGGAAGUUCCAACCAUGGUGAAAUAUCAUUCAACACACUUUUCACCAAGGUCGGAAGUUCCAUCCAUGGCAAAAAUUUAAUCAACCCAAUUUUUUAUUUAUUUUUGCCACAUGUUUUGACUGACUACAUUAAGAACAUUCAUCAUAAUAUAUAAUUCAAAAUAUUUCUAACACAAGAACAAGAACAACAAGAACAUCAACAAUAAUAACAACAAAAUCAAGAGCAAGAACAAGAAAAAGAAAAAAACAAGAACAAUAAAAACAACAACGAAAUAAAAUCAAUUGGAUCAUUAAACAUUAAAUCUCAACAACACCAACAACAAAACAAAGUCAACACAAUCGUUAAAUAUUAAAUAUCAACAACAACAACAAUAAUAAAAACAACAACAAAAGAAAAACAACAACAAAAAUAAAAUCAAUAAAAUCAUUAAACCACUACUAAAAAAAAACUAUCUUAUAGUAGAUGUUACAUCAGUUACACAUACGAGGUAACUAAUGACGAUUUGAAAAAUUGUCACUUUUCCCAUCGAUUUCUUAAUAACCAAGGGGUAAAGUGGAAAUGUCAUGUGAUUGAUACCUAGUGAGAUCCUUUAAGGAAUAUAAUUGCGAAAAAACUUAUCCCCUUGGUUUUGAAAUAUAACUGACGGGUAAAAUAAGCUUGAGUUUAUUAUAUCUAUUGUGGAUUGCUUGUAUUUAGCCCUAACUGAACAUCUAACUUUUCAAAUUGGAUUAUUGUGAUAGUUGCUAGUACUAUUGAUGCAAUUUACAAAUCAUUGAUGCAUAUCUAAAUCGUAGUCUUAACUUCGAUAAUGAAACUUCCACAAUUGGAAAAAAAACCAUCAUAGUUGAUCAACCGUGGUAAGGUAGCGGUGGUAGUAAGUGUACUACAUUCCACCACGGGUUAAGGUCCGUAGUGAAAAAAUGGAUAACGCGCUACAUUUUACCAUAGUUAGAAAUUCCAACUGUGGUGAUAUGUAGUAAACCCACUUUUCACCACGAUUCGAACAUCCAACCAUGGUGAAAUGUCAGUCAAGCCACUUUCCACCACGGUUGGAAGUUCCAGCCGUGGCAAAAAGUCAAUCAACCCAAUUUUUUAUUUAUUUUUCCCACAUGUUUUGACUGAUUACAUUGAGAACUUUCAUCAUAAUAUAUAAUUCAAAAUUUUUCUAACACAAAAACAAGAACAACAAGAACAACAACAAUAAUAACAACAACAACAAGGGCAAGAUCAAGAAAAAGAAAAUAACAUGAACAAUAACAACAACAACAAAAUAAAAUCAAUUGGAUCAUUAAACAUUAAAUCUCAACAACAACAACAACAACAAAACAAAAUCAACACAAACGCUAAAAUUAAAUAUCAACAACAACAACAGCAACAACAAUAAAAACAACAACAAACAAUAUAAAAUGAAUAAAAUCAUUUAACCACUACUACAAAAAAAAACAUCUUACAGUAGAUGUUACAUCGGUUACACAUACGGGGUAACUAAGGACGACAUGAAAAAUUGUCACUUUACCCAACGAUUCCUAAAUAACCUAGGGGUAAAGUGACAAUGACAUGUGAUUGAUCCCUAGUGAGAUCCUUUAAGGAAUAUUAAUUGCGAAAAAACUUAACCCAACGGUUUUGAAAUAUAAUCGACGGGUAAAGUAAGCUUGAGUUUAUUAUAUCUAUUGUGGAUUGCUUGUAUUUAGCCAUUGCUGAACAUAUAACUUUUCAUAUUGAAUUAUUGUAAUAGUUUCUAGUACUAUUGAUGCAAUUUACAAAUCAUUGAUGCAUAUCUAAAUCAUAGUCUUAACUUUGAUAAUGAAACUUCCACAAUUGGAAAAUAAACCAUCAUAGUUGACCAACCGUGGUAAGGCAGGGGUGGUAGUAAGUGUGCUACAUUCCACCACGGGUUAUGGUUCGUUGUGAAAAAAUGGAUAACGCGCUACAUUUUACCAUAGUUAGAAAUUCCAACUGUAAUGAUAUGUAGUCAGCCCACUUUUCACCAUGAUUUGAACUUCUUCAAUAAGCUUCUUCACCAAUUGGAAAAAAAACCAUCAUAGUUGAUGAACCGUGGUAAGGUAGGGGUGGUAGUAAGUGUACUACAUUCCACCACGAGUUAAGGUCCUUUGUGAAAAAAUGGAUAACGCGCUACAUUUUACCAUAGUUAGAAAUUCCAACUGUGGUGAUAUGUAGUCAACCCACUUUUCACGACGAUUCGAACUUCUAACCAUGGUGAAAUGUAAGUCAACCCACAUUUUCGCCACGGUGGGAAGUUCAAACCAUGGUGAAAUAUCAUUCAACCCACUUUUCACCACGGUUGGAAGUUCCAGCCGUGGCUAAAAGUCAAUCAACCCAAUUUUUUAUUUAUUUUUGCCACAUGUUUUGACUGACUACAUUGAGAACUUUCAUCAUAAUAUAUAAUUCAAAAUAUUUCUAACACAAGAACAAGAACAGAAAGAACAAUAAUAAUAAUAAGCAGAACAACAAGAGCAAGAACAAGAAAAAUAAAAUAACAAGAACAAUAAAACCAACAACGAAAUAAAAUCAAUUCGAUCAUUAAACAUUAAAUCUCAACAACAACAACAACAACAACAACAACAAAACAAAUAAUAUAUAAUUCAAAAUAUUUCUAACACAAGAACAAGAACAACAAGAACAACAACAAUAAUAGCAACAACAACAAGAGCAAUAACAAGAAAAAGAAAAUAACAAGAACAAUAAAAACAACAACUAAUAAAAAUCAAUUGGAUCAUUAAACAUUAAAUCUCAACAACAACAACAACAACAACAAAACAAAGUCAACACAAUCGUUAAAUAUUAAAUAUCAACAACAACAACAAUAAUAAACACAACAACAACAAAAAUAAAAUCAAUAAAAUCAUUAAACUACUACUACAAAAAAUACAUCUUACAGUAGAUGUUACAUCGGUUACACAUACGACAUAACUAAGGACGAUUUGAAAAAUUGUCACUUUACCCACCGAUUUCUAAAUAACCAAGGGGUAAAGUGGCAAUGUCAUGUGAUUGAUCCCUAGUGAGAUCCUUUAAGGAAUAUUAAUUGUGAAAAUACUCAUCCCCUCGGUUUUGAAAUAUAACUGACGGGUAAAAUAAGCUUGAGUUUAUUAUAUCUACUGUGGAUUGCUUCUAUUUAGCCCUAACUGAACAUCUAACUUUUCAAAUUGGCUUAUUGUGAUAGUUGCUAGUACUAUUGAUGCAAUUUACAAAUCAUUGAUGCAUAUCUAAAUCGUAGUCUUAAGAUCGAUAAUGAAACUUCCAUAAUUGAAAAAAAAACAACAACAAAAUAAAAAACAACAACAACAAAAAGAAAAUCAACAAAAUCAUUAAACCACUACUACAAAAAAUACAUCUUACAGUAGAUCUUACAUCGGUUACACAUACGAGGUAACUAAGGACGAUUUGAAAAAUUGUCAGUUUACCCACCGAUUUCUAAAUAACCAAGGGGUAAAGUGACAAUGUCAUGUGAUUGAUCCCUAGUGAGAUCCUUUAAGGAAUAUUAAUUGCGAAAAAACUUAACCCAACGAUUUUGAAAUAUAACCGACGGGUAAAAUAAGCUUGAAUUUAUUAUAUCUAUUGUGGAUUGCUUGUAUUUAGCCAUAGCUGAACAUAUAACUUUUCAAAUUGAAUUAUUGUAAUAGUUUCUAGUACGAUUGAUGAAAUUUACAAAUCAUUGAUGCAUAUCUAAAUCAUAGUCUUAUCUUCGAUAAUGAAACUUCAACAAUUGGAAAAUAAACCAUCAUAGUUGAUCAACCGUGGUAAGGUAGGGGUGGUAGUAAGUGUACUACAUUCCACCACGGGUUAUGGUUCGUUGUGAAAAAAUGGAUAACGCGCUACAUUUUACCAUAGUUAGAAAUUCCAACUGUGGUGAUAUGUAGUCAACCCACAUUUCACCACGAUUCGAACUUCCAACAAUGGUGAAAUGUCAGCCAACCCACUUUUCACCACGGUUGGAAGUUCCAACCAUGGUGAAAUAUCAUUCAACCCACUUUUCACAACGGUUGGAAGUUCCAGCCGUGGCAAAAAGUCAAUCAACCCAAUUUUUUAUUUAUUUUUGCCACAUGUUUUGACUGACUACAUUGAGAACUUUCAUCAUAAUAUAUAAUUCAAAAUAUUUCUAACACAAGAACAAGAAUAACAAAAACAACCACAAUAAUAACAACAACAACAAGAGCAAGAAUAAGAAAAAAUAAAUAACAAGAACAAUAAAAACAACAAUGAAAUAAAAUCAAUUGGAUCAUUAAACAUUAAAUCUCAACAACACCAACAACAAAACAAAGUCAACACAAUCGUUAAAUAUUAAAUAUCAACAACAACAACAAUAAUAAAAACAAUAACAAAAGAAACACAACAACAACAAAAAUAAAAUCAAUAAAAUCAUUAAACCACUACUACAAAAAAUACAUCUUACAGUAGAUAUUACACCGGUUACACAUACGAGGUAACUAAGGACGAUUUGAAAAAUUGUCACUUUACCCACCGAUUUCUAAAUAACCAAGGGGUAAAGUGGCAAUGUCAUGUGAUUGAUCCCUAGUGAGAUCCUUUAAGGAAUAUUAAUUGCGAAAAAACUUAUCCCCUCGGUUUUGAAAUAUUACUGACGGGUAAAAUAAGUUUGAGUUUAUUAUAUCUACUUUGGAUUGCUUGUAUUUAGCCCUAACUGAACAUCUAAUUUUUCAAAUUGGAUUAUUGUGAUAGUUGCUAGUACUAUUGAUGCAAUUUACAAAUCAUUGAUGCAUAUCUAAAUCGUAGUCUUAACUACGAUAAUGAAACUUCCAGAAUUGGAAAAAAAACCAUCAUAGUUGAUGAAUCGUGGUAAGGUAGGGGUGGUAGUAAGUGUACUACAUUCCACCACGAGUUAAGAUCCGUUGUGAAAAAAUGGAUAACGCGCUACAUUUUAUCAUAGUUAGAAAUUCCAAUUAUGGUGAUAUGUAGUCAACCCACUUUUCACGACGAUUCGAACUUCUAACCAUGGUGAAAUGUCAGUCAACCCACAUUUUCACCAUGGUGGGAAGUUCCAACCAUGGUGAAAUAUCAUUCAACCCACUUUUCACCACGGUUGGAAGUUCCAGCCGUGGCUAAAAGUCAAUCAACCCAAUUUUUUAUUUAUUUUUGCCACAUGUUUUGACUGACUACAUUGAGAACUUUCAUCAUAAUAUAUAAUUCAAAAUAUUUCUAACACAAGAACAAGAACAACAAGAACAACAAGACUACAUUGAGAACUUUCAUCAUAAUAUAUAAUUCAAAAUAUUUCUAACACAAGAACAAGAACAACAAGAACAACAACAAUAAUAACAACAACAACAAGAGCAAGAACAAGAAAAAGAAAAUAACAAGAACACUAAAAACAACAACGAAGUAAAAUUAAUUGGAUCAUUAAACAUUAAAUCUCAACAACAACAACAACAACAAAACAAAAUCAAGACAAUCGCUAAAUAUUAAAUAUCAACAACAACAACAACAACAACAAAAACAACAACAACAACAAAAACAACAACAAAAAAAAUCAAUAAAAUCAUUAAACCACUACUACAAAAAAAAACAUCUUACAGUAGAUGUUACAUCGGUUACACAUACAAGGUAACUAAGGACGACAUGAAAAAUUGUCACUUUACCCACCGAUUUCUAAAUAACCAAGGGGUAAAGUGGCAAUGUCAUGUGAUUGAUCUCUAGUGAGAUCCUUUAAGGAAUAUUAAUUGCGAAAAAACAUAUCCCCUCGGUUUUGAAAUAUAACCGGCGCGUAAAAUAAGCUUGAGUUUAUUAUAUCUAUUGUGGAUUGCUUGUAUUUAGCCCUAGCUGAACAUAUAACUUUUCAAAUUGGAAUAUUGUGAUAGUUGCUAGUACUAUUGAUGCAAUUUACAAAUUAUUGAAGCAUAUCUAAAUUAUAGUCUUAACUUCUAUAAUGAAACUUCCACAAUUGGAAAAAAAACCCAUCAUAGUUUAUCAACCGUGGUAAGGUAGGGGUGGUAGUAAGUGUACUACAUUCCACCACGGGUUAUGGUUUGUUGUGAAAAAAUGGAUAACGCGCUACAUUUUACCAUAGUUAGAAAUUCCAACUGUGGUGAUAUGUAGUCAGCCCACUUUUCACCAUGAUUUGAACUUCCAAUCAUGGUGAAAUGUUAGCCAACCCACUUUUCACCGUGGUUGGAAGUUCCAACCAUGGUGAAAUAUCAUCCAACCCACUUUUCACCACGGUUGGAAGUUCCAGCCGUGGCAAAAGGUCAAUCAACCCAAUUUUUCAUUUAUUUUUGUCACAUGUUUUGACUGACUACAUUGAGAACUUUCAUCAUAAUAUCUAAUUCAACAUAUUUCUAACACAAGAACAAGAACAACAAGAAUAACAACAACAACUAGAGCAAGAAUAAGAAACAGAAAAUAACAAGAACAAUAAAAACAACAACGAAAUACAAUCAAUUGGAUCAUUAAACAUUAAAUCUCAACAACUACAACAACAAAACAAAGUCAACACAAUCGUUAAAUAUUAAAUAUCAACAACAACAACAAUAAUAAACACAACAACAAAAGAAAAACAACAACAACAAAAAUAAAAUCAAUAAAAUCAUUAAACCACUACUACAAAAAAAUACAUCUUACAGUAGAUGUUACAUCGGUUACACAUACGAGGUAACUAAGGAC